UUCUGUUCAAGUAGAUGGCUUCAGUGUUCUGACUUUUGAGUGUAAGCUUUAUUGCUAAAGGAGAGAUAAUAUCAUUUUAUUUGGCAAUAACUAUAUGAAAUGGCUAAAACAAUUUGAUCUUGUUCGUUAUGUAUUGAUCUGAAUAAUCACACCUACAUGCCUCAAGUGUUCGAGGCUGUCUGAGCAAACUAAACUACUGACACGUAAGUUAUGUAUUGAUGCCUCAUUAGUGUUUUUUUUAAUCUUCUGGUUUCUGUCUAGAUUGGAACUAGACAGUGAAAGGUUCCCAGGUAUGAUGUUAAAACCUGCUUUAAACUUUAGAUCUUUCCGUCUUUGUUAUGGCUGAUUUAGUGGCUUAGUUCUGGUACUAGCUUGGGAUAAGAGUGUCACUAAGACAAAAAAAGAAAAUUAAGUGAACAGAUGGUUUUCAUUAUUGAAAAGUGGGACUGGAUUUUUUUUUUUGUAAGGGAUCAAGCAUUAGCACUGGAAAGAGCUCGAAAGCUGUAUUUGAUUCGAUUACUUUCGCCCUUAUGGUUCAGCUGGACACCACACCAUACAGUUGAAAGUAACUUUGCUGCAACCUUAUUGUGUAUUGCUCAUGAUGUGCUGACAUGAUGUGUUCACCUGACAGCCAAUGCAAGCGCACUUAAAGUCAGCUGUGAACUUCUGCGCAUAUUCGUUACAGGUUUGCACCUCUGAAAAAUGCUGCGUAACCUCACGCUAGCAUGUAGCAGCAGCAAUUUUCUGUAAUUUUAACUCAGGAAUUUCUCGUGCAGAGGCUAUUCAACGUUCUGCUUUUAUCGCUGAAGCGGAGGACGCUACUGUUAUCGAACCCACCCAUCUAGAGCGUGUAUUGCCGCAACUGCUCUUGGACUUUUGAGGUACCCCCAUAGGGCUUUCGAAUCCAUUUAUUCGAGCAGACGUCUGGCAUAGAAGGAUAGAGAUUCCUAAUUGACAUUAGUGACAUGAGUUUUUCAACUUCUGCUACAUCCAGUAACUAAGAACAUUAAGCAAUCGGAACAAACAAGUAAACAGAUAUGGCAAGCCCAACUUUAUUCGACAUAAACCUGAAACCAUCCUAACUUACCGUUUCUUCGUGUGCCAAAGUUCGUCUUCAUUUUAUUUCAGAGCCUUUGUGCUAGCCGACUCUGACCACCCGGCACCUACGCUUCAGCAGCUACCGCGAUCAGGGGCUCGCGACCCGCGCGCGCCGCGGACGGAGAGCUAGAGAGCUACUAGCAGCUGGGCACGGGCACCUUGCAGGCGGUGAACACCCUCCGCUUGUGUCUGGUGUCGACGAGGCGCUUCAGGUUGGCGUCGUCCUUAUACCGGCAAAGGCAGUUGGGCCCGUGGGACUUGAGCCUGGCGCAGCAGGCGGGCGUCGGGGAACCCUUCCCCGUGAACGCGCUCGCACACGGGCUCAGCUGCAUCACGUCGCACGGCGCCAGCGCCGAGAAGUCGGCCGCGGCGCGGCUGGCGAGGAGGCUCACCACCACCGCGACGAGGAGGAAGACGGCCGGCCUCAUCCCGACGAUCGCAGGUGGGGUUUUCGCUGGACUGGGACUGGGAGGCCACGAGAAGUCGUCAGGAGCUGCAGCGUCCAGUGGGCAGAGUUGCUCGCAGCUUUUGUAGGCCGGCGCCCGGUAGCAGUGUAGUGUAGCACGCAGCAGGUGAGUCACGGUGUGAGCGUGCGCAACCGAGCGCAGUGCACGUUAGGUGAAGCACGCCUGAUAGAGGGCUGCCUGCCAUCACGAUUCUGAGUUUCUGACGAGGCUAAGGUACUGUGCACAUACUGAGGCAAAGCAUCUGGUUGACGCAAACUUGCCGCGCAUUCGUUUAUUCCUCUCGAUGGUUCAAUCCCUGCAGAUCUAGCUAUCCUUUUCUUCUCAAUCUACGCCCCCUUGAGAUAAAAAUUAUACUACUCCCUCCGUUCCAAAUUAUAGGUUGUUUUGGCUUUUCUAGAUACAUAGAUAUUAUUAUGCAUCUAGACAUAGGGUAUGUCUAAGUGCAUAAUAAAGUUUAUGAAUCUAAUAAAAUCAAAACGACCUAUAAUUUGGAACGGAGGGAGUAGCUUUUUGGGGGCAUAUAAAGACGCCCUUUCUGCAACAGACCGAUCAGACAAACCAAGACGAGAUUAAUCGUCAAAAACUCAGAGAGCCAUGCAUCCUCAUUUUCCUAACGAUCACGGCAAUGGACGAGUGGGUGGUCCAUUCCAUAGGCACAACCGGUGGCAAAGACCCUCUAAUUUAGCCUAACAAAUUUAAGGAUCGGGCUUCACGAGGAUCGAGCUAUAAUAGUAUAUAAUUUUGAACUAAAAAUAAAUAGGGCUAAGUUGGAUAAUAAUAUAUGAUUUUGAACUAAAAAUAUAUAAAAAUAUAUAGAGCUGAGUUGUAUUGUGAAGGAGGCAUGAGGGCCAUGAUCCAUUACCACCCCUAGUCAAUUCAUAGGCUUCUUGGCGGAGGAAAAGGUAAUGCUACUCUUCCUUUCUUUCUGGACAAUUAACUUGCAUCAUUUGAAUUACCAAAGUUUCUGUCUGAAUCCAUGUGUUCAUGGAUUGCGUUGUUUGCCCCUCGCAGUGGCGGACAUUCUGCUGUGGAAGGACAGGAACUUAUCUGCAGGUGUGCUCCUCGGGGCCACGUUGAUCUGGUACCUGUUAGAAGUGGUUGAAUACAACGUAAUCCCGCUCCUUUCCCAGAUUGUCAUCUUGGCCAUGCUCGUGGUCUUCAUUUGGUCGAAUGCCACGCCGCUCUUGAACAUGUAUGUCUUUGUUUCUUCUGGAGGUUUAUCGAAAUUCAAAUGUGACACAAAGGCACGAGAAGCAAUUCUCAACUAACCAAAUUUUCAUAGCAGACCCCCUCCAAGAAUCCCAGAAGUCAUCGUCUCUGAGCAUGCCUUCCGACAUAUAGCACAGACCAUCCAUUACAAACUGGCAUACACUGCUGCUGCUCUUUAUGACAUUGCAUGUGGAAAGGAUCUGAAGAAAUUCCUCUUGGUACAUAACAAUCAAUAACUCUCCUACCUUCAUAACAAAAACCAUGUCACAGUUUUUCCAGUGUCAAGAUAUAUGCCAAGAUCCACGUGUGAUAUUUUUGAAUUUAUAUUUUUCAUCACUUUUAUAGUGUUUUUGGGCAAUUUACAACACUUUAACCUUAGACUAACAAUAUGCUGUUUCAAAUAUUAAGGUGAUCUUUUCACUGCUAAUAUUGUCUGAGAUUGGAAGUUCUUACAGCUUCACAAGUCUACUAUAUCUCGGUGAGUACCGCGGUAAUUUUAAACAAGAUGAACACACAAAGAUCAUACAAACCAAUUGCUAUAAUACAUUUAACAAUCUGAACAACUUACUUCCGCAGGAUUUUUGUGUGCUCACACUUUGCCAGCAUUGUACCAAAGAUAUGAGACAGAGGUGGACCAUCUAGCUGCAAGAGGUAGUGAAGACAUCAAGAGGUUCUAUAAGAGGAUUGAUUCCAAUUUGCUCAACAAAAUAGCAAGAGGCCCUGUCAAGUCAAAACCUAUAUAAGAUAUACUCCCUGAAGAUACAUCAAUAAUUCCCUCGAAAGGGAAUGACCUAUCAUUUGAUUGCUUCCAGCGAAAAUGGUCCUAUUGUAAUUUGUACAAAGGUGCGUGAACCAGAAAAGCAAGAAGUAGCUUCAACUGAGCCUGGAGAAUUCAGACUGUCAACAUUCAAAUGUACCUAUCAAUGCAUGGAUACAAGCAUAUUUUCAAGACUUCACAAUCAAUAUGAAAUGAACUAUAAUGUUGUAAUCUCAACAAAGCAGAUCAUUAAUAAGAAUUGAGUGGUGUUUUCUCUUUCAACUCUGACGCCAUGGGUUUGUAUAAGUACAGCACAUGAAAAAAGAGCAUCCAAUAUGGAUUCAGCAAGACAAAUAGCUAAGAUUGCCUAAUCGUCUAGGGAAAAAAGGAAUAUAAACAUGAUUACAUGACAUUCAUCAUUCAUUGUCUUCUAACAUGUGAAACGCUAGUGUUAUGUGUUUUACUCUUCAUUCUUGGUAUAUGCUGUGGGAUAUACUGGAAAAAAAAUUAUUGGCUACAAGACACUAGGCGGGGCUCUGCAGCAAAGAAACUAGUGUCCUACAGCAUAGAAAAUGCAUUUCAAUGUCCUACAUCUAAGGAUCAGUGUCCUGUUGCUAAUUUUUCCAUUUAACUAACAUACACGAGGAAUUCUCGAGGCAUCAAACAUUGCAUGAUUUAUUUGCAAAGAUCCAUUUGUACCUUAAAUGUUUGUGUACCGUGGAGAGUCAACUUGAAUCUGGAAUAUGACCAUGUCUAAAACAUCAGAGACCUUGGCUUUUCCUUAAUUCAGUAGAUGAAAUAUCCAUGCGAAAUUUUUCCUCUGGUAUGGAAAUGAACAUGUCGCUCAGCUCUUCUGGAAUGACUAAAUCCUCAAGGGCCUUCGAAACAAAACAAGUAGUGUAUAUUGUUUCAGAUGAUCCCUCCCCCACUUCCUUCUCCCCACACCCAAAAAAAAGUGUGUAAAGAAAACAUCAAGUUAAAUUUAUACCUUGAAAACUCCUUCAAUCAUUCGACCACCAACAAGAAAAAUGGUACCUGUGCUUUUACAUUCGAGAAGUAUCUCCAGCAUUCUAUUGUAAUCUCCCCCAUAAUACUUGGGCUGCAAUGAAUAAACUUCAUUCAGUAUCAACAACAAAAUAUCCAAUUGUCAAUUUUACUUACACAGUAACGAGUAAACUCUGUCACUGAAGGUAAUACCACAAUUUAUGCUCAAAAGUAAGUACAAAGUGUGCUGAUAAGAAACUAAAAAGAUGAAAGAAACUGCAAAUUGCUACUCGAACAUUGGGUAUUUGGGUUGCAUAUUAUUUUCUAAUAAACAUAAAAUCAUUGAAUCCAAAACCUAAAACAUCCUUUCAGAAAGGAAACAAACUAAACUGGUAGGUAGUUUUAUCAUGACUGUCGAACUUCUUACAUUAACAAGUCUAGCUGCAGUGUCUGCACCAAUUAUAAAAGCACUUCCUGGGAAAAGCUCCGCUUUCUUAUAGAAGUAUGGUUGGUUAGAUAUUAUCACAUUCUUCCCUGUAACAGAAAGAGAACAACAGGGUGAGUUUCCCCCAGCAAAUCCCAUCCCUGUUAAGUUCUGAAAAAGAGCAGCUUGAACCUCAAAAGCAGUAAAUAAUCGGUGAGCAAUUAAACAGACUUUCAGCAACCAACAAUUGGUUGCCCAGGUUGUCAAUCACUAUUUUAUCCUCCCUUUGGUUUUAAAUAUAUGACGUUUAGGACAAGCUAACUAGAUAACAAAAUGAACUAACUAACUUGUCUUAAAUGUCAUAUAUUUAAAAACGAAGGGAGUACAAUGGUAAUAUAAACAAAAACUUAGGAAAAACACUACUGGACACUUAUGUAAAGAGCUCCCGCGAAAUCAUUUUUAGGCCUUGUUUGUUUGAGCUUUAGCUUUCCAAGCUUUCUAGAAAGCUGGCUUUUGGCUUUUACUCCCUGGAAGGGUGGCUUUCCGAAAGCUAACACCGUUUGGCAACCUAGCUUUUGGAAUGGAGGGAUGGAGUGUCUGUUCUGUGAGGUCCCCAUGUCAGACUUUUCUUCAACCUUGGAUGCCGGUCGGAUUUGGCGGCGGGCGAGAUUUGGUGGGGAGGAGGGGUGCUGCACCGACGGGGGAGAUUUGGAGUGGAGGAGCUCCCCUGCAGCGGCUUCCCGAGCCUGCCGGAUCUAGGCUCCUCGGCGGCAGGCGGAGGCGAGGCUGGGGGAGACACCGAAGGGGAUGGCGAGCGAGGCGAGCGGCACGGCGAGUGGGGCUGCUGCGGCGGCGGCGGCUCGGAGGAGAGGCUGAGGCACUGGAGUAGGAGGCGGCGGCGGGGCAGGGCGGGUCGCGGCAGGGCGGGACGGGGCGGGUCGGCGGCGAGGCAGUGGCAGGGUAGGGUAGGGUCGGCGGCGAGGUGGUGCCGGCGGCAGGACGAGACGGAGAUGGAGCUGAGGAAAGACGUUGAAAGCUACGGAAAGCUCACAUUUCCCUGCUUCUGGGCUUUCCAUGUAAUCAUAGUUUUUGUGGGCUUUUGGCUUUCGAAAAGCUCAGCCCAGAAGCUGGCCGUUUGUUUGAGCUUUCGGCUUCUUAGGGUGGAAAACUGCUGGAAAGCCCAAACAAACAAGCCCGCAACCCACCUGAAUGAAUGGUAAACAAGACUCCAGUUCUCUGUAACCGCAAACUGAACCACAUUUGGCAUGGCAAUCCGAUCAGAGUCCUAGGGUUAUUGCAAAAUCGAAGUCAUGGCACAUAAUUGUACAUGAUGCUGGGCCAUACCUGCUUUUCUAAAUUGCUCAACACGCCUCUUAAUUUCUGCAAUAGAUAGUGGAGGUUUAUCGGCAUUGAUUGCUGAUAUCUCAAAGAAUGGAAGCCCAUCAUCAUACAUGCUACAACAAGUGGAUCCAUUAAAAAUAUCAGGCAAUUUACUCUUUCUUCUAAGAUAAAACAAGGAAAAAAACAGAAGUGGACGAUCCAAUAUCUUGGGUACAAAAACAGCUAUAUGGAAAUAGUGUUGUGGAGCCACAUGCCAAUUGUCAAAACAUAGCAAACCUUCUCUUGACAAGUAAUUUUCUGUGACAAAUCAUUUUCACAUUUCCACUUUGCCAUUUUUGGUUUUUGUUUUCCCUUGCUAGUCUUUAACAUGCCCAAAUCCAAAAGUAGAAAUGUUUCUAUUUAUUCACAGCUUCUCCAGGAGUAAAUCAAACCUUGAUGCAACUUCCAACAGCUUAAGGUGGCCCUCAUGCAAGGGGUUGAAUGAACCAGGUAGAAUUACUUUCCUAUUGAAGUUCGUUUCCACUGGAGCUACAUUAAAGAAGAACAGUGUCAGAGAUGGAAGAGUUGUAGAAACAAUAGAACUAACAACGACCAAGGACACUAUGAUUCAAGAAUGAAAAUGGAAGAAAUUCUAGAAUGAAAAACAUAGCAACUCCAAGUGCUAAAAUAUACCGGGAAAGUGAUAGACUUUCAUGCAAACUUGCCCAUCAAUGACUUGUUGGAGCUCUUGAUCUUCAUCAAAUUGUUCCGUGCUUUCUUCUGGAAGUUCAGGUUCUUGAAUGCCUGACUGAAUAGUUGCAGAUACUCUGCAGGUAUCUGCUAUUGCCUACAAUGCGUACUCUUAAAAAUGAGUGCUACCUCCGAGAAUGCCAAUUAUCAUAAGAUUGGCCAAUCCUGACAUGAUGAGGAUUGGUUGCUUAUAUUUGUUGGUUACAAACUUAUGAUGUUCAACUUGAUCAAUAUUACCAAUGAGAACAUAUCAUCUAGUGAGGUGCAACAAACCUUAAGCAAAAAACAGCUUGAAACCUCGUCUUCUUCCUCUCUGCUCCGUAAACCCUGGGAAGAAAGAUUAUGGUAGCAUGAGGCAACACAAUUUAAUAAAUAAUAGUGGAUUGCUGCUAUUUUCUAUUCUGCUAACAAGUUCUAAAAAGACUAAGAAGUAGCGUCAAUUUAUUAAAGUGUAAGAAGGAACAACAGUGCUUGUACAGUUGUACCUUUGACAAGGUAACAUGUGAUGUCCUGAGGCAAUUGUGAGUCCACGUUGACACAUAAAACCUAUUUCAAAACGAGAACCAAAUGUCAUAUAGUGGACACUCAAGAAAGAGGAUUAACAAACUUAUAGAUGUUAUCAUAACAGCAAAAAGAUAAAGACCCCCCCUGAUUCCUCGAAAGAUGAGAAUUUUGUGCCAUAAAUCAUGUGCUCAGGCUCCUAUGGUCGUAUCGUAUCACAAUUCACAUGCUAAGUCAAGAUUCUAGCACGACCACUGCUCUAACUUGGUGAAGUGGGCUAGUUGCAAGGCAUACCUGUGGUCACCAUGUUUUGGACGUGAGCUUGCCAGUGACCCUGUAAAUCCAACACCCAUAACUUGGAGACCUAUGCAUACCCCCAAUCAAUUACUUCAAAAUUUACAGCAAGGAUAGAUGAUGUUAGGUGCAAAUAUGCAAUUCUGCAAGCUACAUAGUCAUGUGCAGAAUGAUCAAGUAUUGCGAAGUAAAGUAAGGACCUGUUUGGAUGCAGGGUGCUAAAGUUUAGCACCCGUCACAUCGGAUGUUUGAUACUAAUUAGGAGUAUUAAAUAUAGGCUAAUUACAAAACUAGUUGCACAGAUAGAGUCUAAUUUGCGAGAUGAAUCUAUUAAACCUAAUUAGUCCAUGAUUUGACAAUGUGGUGCUACAGUAACCAUUUGCUAAUGAUAGAUUAAUUAGGUUUAAUAGAUUCGUCUUGCGAAUUAGACUCCAUCUAUGCAAUUAGUUUUGUAAUUAGCUCAUGUUUAGUCCUUCUACUUAACAUCCGAACAUCCGAUGUGACACUGCUAAAAUUUAGCACGUAGUAUCCAAACACAUCCUAAGUCACACAGACCUGGCCCAGAAAGCUUGAGUGUUCGGUUGUACGCGGCCAGUGACAUGUCCUCUGCAGCCUGCUUGCUGUUGAGGGGGUAUUUGUUUCUUUAGUCCCUCCUAAAAUUUCUGUCACAUCGAAUGUUUAGAUACUAAUUAGGAGUAUUAAAUAUAGACUAAUUACAAAACCAAUUGCACAGAUGGAGACUAAUUUGCGAGAUGAAUCUAUUAAGCCUAAUUAGUUCAUGAUUUGACAAUGUGAUGCUACAGUAAACAUGUGCUAAUGAUGGAUUAAUUAGGCUUAAUAGAUUCGUCUCGUGAAUUAGCCUCCAUCUGUGUAAUUAGUUUUAUAAUUAGCUUAUAUUUAGUCCUCCUAAUUAGCCUCCAAAUAUUCGAUGUGACAUAAAUUUUAGGAGGUCCUAUAGAUCAAACACCCUGAAUUGCAAGGCCAUCUGACCAUCAAAGCACGGUCAGUGCAAACAGUACCGUCAGGCGUCAGGAAUAAGCCAAUAACAUCUGAGUAGUUGUUUGACUGUGGGUUCGCAAGUGGACGCGCAGAGUGUUUCGGGAGUGCCGAUUCCGUUACCUUGCCAAGGAGCUGCGCCAUGGAGGCCCUGGAGGAGGGCACGACGACCUCGAGGACGGUGCCCGACGCGCCGCGCACGGACAGGAGCCAGCCGAGCGCCUGCGCCGAAUGGGGGUGCCGGGCAGUUGGGAAUAUGGCCGAUUUGACGGGAAAAUUACAGCGCGCGGGGCCAGGAGGUGCUGGUACGGAUACCUGAGAUGCGCCGCCGGCGAGGUAGGGCCCGUUUGGUUGCCUAGUCCAUGUUUAGGUCACUUCAAAAUCCCAACUUUAACACUAUGCAAAAAGAAGAUUUCCAUCACAUCAAACUUGCGGUACAUGCAUGGAGUACUGAAUGUAGACGAAAUCAAAAACUAAUUGCACAGUUUUGUUGUACUUUGCGAGACGAAUCUUUUGAGCAUAAUUAGUCAAUAUUUGGACAAUAAUUCACAAUACAAACGAAACGCUACAGUGUCGCUAUAGGAAUUUUGACACCCCAAAGUUGGGCAACUAAACAAGGCCCUAGAGGAGUCUAGCCUAGUUCGCGCCAGCUCACGUGGCUCCCCAGAGCCAAGCCCAUUGCAUACAGGAGCAUGGUGGUCGCCUGCUCGCACAGGCCAGGCUCUCCCGAGAAGCUGUUUGUUUGCUCGGAUAAGGACGGGUUGCAUGAGAUGAAAAUAUAUAAAUAAUCAUCGUAAUGACAUUUGUUACGGGGAAACUAUUAUCUCAUAGCUCUUAGUUUAUCUUAUUACUACUUAAUAUUAAUCAAAAUAUGUUAAUAUCAUUUAAUAUGUGCUAAUAAAUGUAUUAAUAACGUCUUUAGAUGGCUAAUACCUACGCCACGCGAGCCUAGCCCGGCAGAAACGGCCGAUUUCCUUGCACCAGCAGAGCCUGACUACGGAGGGAAUCUUGCACGCUCGGAGUCUGACCGAGCAGAUACGCAAACCAAAUAAAUAGAAAAUCUUGCAUCGGCAGAGUCUGACUGAGGGCUGAUGGAGGCAACCAAACGUCCCGUUAGAUGAUCGCCUGGGAGCGAAAGGAGUGGAUGGCCUCCACCACCGCGCGGACGCAGCUCUCCAUCGCGAUCCCGGUGGACGCCGUUGGCUUGGGCGAGCUGCUACGGGACGAGACGACGCGGGGAUUUUGUCCGGUUCCCCUCCUGUUUUUUUUUUAAGGAAGAGUUCCCUCCUGUAGAUGUAGAAAAAAAAAACUCUGCUGUGGGCCGGAUCCCUCAGAACCCGUUUACGCAACGGCCUACGCAACCGACACCAGGUGGUCAGGCCCACAGCCCAAUGUCGGUUCCCGCACGUGCCGCCCUGGCCCGCAACUACUCCACCGAACCCUUCAAAGCCCACGUAGGGGUCUCGAAACCGCAACAAUCGCAGUUCGCAGACCGCAUUGCUGGCUGAAUCGCCUUCGCACCGCCACAGCCUUCCGUCGUCCUCUCCGACAUCGACUCGCACCGACCACUAGCGGCGCCACCUCCUCCUCAGCCCCAGCCAUGGCCGGCGGCGACGGUGAGGCGGCGGCCCUAAACCCCCGUCUCCUCCACGAACGCCCUCGUACACCUCUCGCGUUGACGUCGUUCCCCUCUCUUCUACCCCGCAGGCGAUCGCCACCGCGCGCCGAAGCGGCACAAGUCCUCGGCCCCGUCGAAGGCGGCCCUGGUGGACGAGAGCGCCGAGUUCGACUACGCCGAUGACUUCGACGACGAUGCCCUUGACGGUACCCACCGCGCGCUUGAUCCCCUCCUAAAUCCGCGAACCAUCCCCAAAUCUGUGGGGUUUCUUCUGAACUUCUGAUCGAUUUGAGGGAUUUGGGGGUGGAUGUCUUUGUUCUAUUGCAGCGAAUACGGAGGUGAAGAAGAGGGAUUUCACGAAGCUCGAGUUGAAGCCGGAUCACGCGAACCGGCCCCUCUGGGCGUGCGCGGACGGACGCAUCUUCCUCGAGACCUUCUCGCCGCUCUACAAGCAGGCAUACGAUUUCCUUAUCGCUAUUGCUGAACCUGUGUGCAGGUCCGCUUUAAUCAGUUCCAUACUUGAAUACCACCAGCUGCACCUUUAAAUCAGAGUUGUCAUGGCUGUACCCAGAUGGCUCACAACCUGAAUUGGAGCCGUUGAUUUCUCCAUGGAGUUCUGAUAGCAUGAAUUAGGGCUGCAGUAAGAUGUCCGUGCUUUGGAUAGGAUUGGUCUGGUAAAUCCAGAACACAUUGUUAACACACUAGCCGCAAGUCUGUCUUUGGAUGUCUUGGACCAGGAGAUGAAUUUUGAAUAUUUACAAGACAGGAUUUCUUGACUUGCGAUUUUGCAUUCCAUUCAAAACCCGACAUAAGAGUCAACAUGAUGUCAUUUGAAGGAAUUUGUGUGAAAUUGGUUGGAGGGAUACAUAUGCUAAGAAUUGGGAGGGAGAAAUACAGUGGUGCUUGCUCAAUUUAAUUAAGCAUGGUUACAUGGAUCUUUAGGUUUUAAGGCUAUGCUGAAUGUAGCUAUGGCAUUUUCCAGAGUUUUGUUGCUUCUGGUGCUAUUUGUUCGUGAGUGGAUUUGGAAUAAACAAAUAUUAUUUGAACACUAUCUAAACUUGACCAAAGUUAUGCGAGAUGUUUACCCUUGUUUCCUAGGUAAUAAUUACUAGGACUUGCUUAGUUUUGAGGAUUGAAUGGUGUGUUAGAGAUAUCCUGAGCUUGUUACUUCAAAGAAACAGCAAGUCAGCAACAAUAGUAAGCUAAAUUGUAACUGUAUCUGAGCUACCAUGGUGCUCUGGAUAUUGAAAUGAAUUUAUGCGUUAAAUGCUUGAAUAUAUUCAAUGAAGGUUUCCAACUUUUCUUUCUGAAAAUUCAACCUUUUUUUUGUUGUGCAGGCCAGAAUCUAUGCAUGAGUACAAUCUAACUCCCCACUCAUUGUAUGCUGCGGUCUCAGUAGGACUUGAGACAAGCACUAUUAUUAGUGUCUUGAGUAAACUCUCUAAGACUAAGUUGCCUCGUGAAAUAAUUGACUUCAUCCACGGAUCAACUGCUAACUACGGCAAAGUGAAGCUUGUCUUGAAGAAGAAUCGAUAUUUUGUUGAGUCUCCAUUUCCUGAGGUCAUAUCACUUGACCUUUGUAUAAAGAAUUCUGAUAGCUCUAUCGCUUUUCUUUGUUGAGGGAACUGUGGCAUCUCUUGUGCAGGUAUUGAGUAACCUCCUGAACGAUGAUGUUAUAUCAAAAGCUAGGAUAUCUCCUGAGGUAUUAUUUACUUUGGAUGUAUAAUAUCAAGCUGAAGUUAGUGUCAGGUAGAGGAGAAUUUGCACACUGUGGAAAUGUCAAUUUUGUUCAUGUCAUCAGUUUUUUUGUUUUCUUUCUGGUUUUGAGUAAUUGGUUCUCAACUUAUUGGGUGUGUAAUCAUAUUGGACAUUUGAAACCAUUGCAGCUUAGGAAAAGUUUGUUACCUACCUCACUAGCCUUUGUGUGAUAAAAGUUGUUUUCCUGCUAAUUUGUCUACAUUAAACCAGCUAUCCAUUUAACUUAGUUGUUUGCUUCUCAACGUCGUAUGAAUCUAUUCUAAUUUUCCUUCAGGAUUCCCUUGGUGCAUCUUCAUUUACUAUUAGCAAAACAUCUGGACAAGCUAGUGGCCAUGAAGAGUUGUUAAAUGGAAUGGACUUGGCUGCUGCAACUGAAGACAAGGAAACACAUUCUUUUGAGAUUGAUCCCUCUCAGGUAUUUUUUCAUUUCUACUGAAGGUUGGGAACCACUAAAGUUAUUGAGGGACUGAUGUUCCAUUUAUCUCACACAGGUUGAGAACGUCAAGCAACGGUGCUUGCCAAAUGCAUUGAACUACCCCAUGCUGGAGGAGUAUGAUUUCAGAAAUGACACUGUAAGCUUGUCUUUUCUCAGGGAACAGCUAAUGCAUAUUGUUUUUCUGUUCUUUUUUCAUCGAUAAACAAUGAUCAUAAUGCUGAAAAGUUUAGACCAAAAGGAUGGGAUAAAUUGCAAACCACAGUACCUCUUGUUGGAGAAUGCAAAAAUUGGGGUUGGCCCAGGUCAAAGGAAUGUGAUAGAUGCACAUAUGCAUCAAAGAAAAUAAGUCAAAUGAAAGGGUAGGAGAAAUUUCAAACCACCUUAGCUCUACGUCAAAUAAUACAAGGGUCAAGGGGUGGGAUUGAUCCCUGCUAAUGGAAUGUAGAUGAACUUGCAUCAAUAGAAAACGUUACUCCCUCUGGUCAUAGAAAAGUGGCAAUUUUGGACAUGAACAUAAUCUUGGAAACACUACUUUUACUACUGAAUUUUAUUGUGAUAUGAUUUAGAAUCUAAUGAAGUUAUAAUAUGUGAAAGUAUUUUUAACACAAAGCUGCUCAUGGAUCUAAAGUUUAACUUAGUUCCUCUUCAAUUUUAAUUGUAGGUAAACCCAGAUUUGGACAUGGAGCUAAAGCCGCAAGCACGACCCAGGCCAUAUCAAGAAAAGAGUCUCAGCAAGAUGUUUGGAAACGGUAAGUUCAUCAUGUAAAGCUUAUGUAGAAUUGAGUUUCAAACAGUUGGUACUCUGUUAGAGAGCUAUUGAUGGCCACGAAGUUUGGGCUGAAGAAUUUCCCAGUGAUUAGCAUCGAAAGCCCAGUAUUGGUCUCUUAUCCGAUUGCACAUUCUGAUUUGCAGCCAGGUCCGAAAUGAAAGUAAAUGUGCCUUCUCUGUGCAAUGGUCUUGCAAUGCCUUGUUUAAUAAGGUGUCCAGUAUUGUUUAAUGUUGCGAAUACUAAGUGAAGAUGUUGCAAAUUUUUAACUGAUAGCAAAAUAUGUGUUUACUCAGGAUGUAAACCAAAUUCUCCUUGCUCUUUUUAGCUAGUGAUUUUGUUCCCUUGGGUCAUUUAUUAAUCUUUCCAUUGUAGAAGUUUUUGGCUUUUGCAUGGAGUAAACAAUUUGUGAUACUUGUAUGCAGUGAAUGCUAGCUUUUCUAAUUUGAUUUAAUUUGUAAUUAUGCAGGACGAGCAAGGUCAGGCAUUAUUGUGCUACCUUGUGGUGCUGGCAAAUCCUUGGUUGGUGUAUCUGCAGCCUGCCGUAUUAAGAAAAGUUGUCUAUGUUUGGCCACAAAUGCUGUCUCCGUAGAUCAAUGGGCAUUUCAGUUCAAGCUUUGGUCAACUAUAAAAGAUGACCACAUUAGUCGUUUUACAUCUGAUAACAAGGAGAAAUUUAGAGGGAUGGCAGGUGUGGUUGUGACUACAUAUAACAUGGUUGCAUUUGGUGGUAAACGGUCUGAAGACUCAGAGAAGAUUAUUGAAGAAAUCCGAAACAGAGAGUGGGGCUUGCUUCUAAUGGAUGAGGUGGGCUGGUCUAUUAUAAUCUGAUCAUUGGGGUUUUAUUCUUCCAUGUCUUAAUAAAGUAUAAUGCAGUGUCACUUUUGUCUCCUUUUCUAUUCAGGUUCACGUUGUCCCUGCACAUAUGUUUAGAAAAGUCAUCAGCAUCACUAAAUCUCACUGCAAGCUUGGUCUUACUGGUACGUCUCCAUCAUAUAAUCCUGCAUGGUUUCACUGUUUGCUUUUAUGACGUAUCAUAAACUCAUUAUAUUAAAAUUACCACAGCUACCCUUGUGAGAGAGGACGAACGCAUUACCGAUUUGAAUUUUCUAAUUGGACCAAAACUGUAUGAAGCGAAUUGGUUGGAUUUAGUGAAAGGUGGAUUUAUUGCAAAUGUGCAGUGUGCAGAAGUAUGGUGUCCCAUGACCAAAGAGUUCUUUGCUGAAUAUUUGAAGAAGGAAAAUUCAAAGAAGAAGCAGGUGAACCCAUAUUGAAGUUUGUCAUAGGUUCCUGCAGAGAAUUUAUAUAAGUUUUUGUCCUUCCAGAUUGCAAAUUCAUGUAUUCCAGUUUCCACUAUUGCUUUAUUUUAUUCCCAUUGUACCUUUCCCUCUAUGCAAUAGUCGACUUCAUUUGUUUCCUUUAGCUAUUCACCUCCAACAAGACAUACCACUCUUAUACUUUUGACAACAGUACAUAUAUGAAUUUUCACUGAUUGGAAUUCCAUUUUCUUUAAUUUCAUUCUCGUCUUCCUGGAAGCUAACUUAUGUUUUGAGGAUCACAUCUUACUGCCCUUACAUGCCAGGUACUUUAUGUCAUGAAUCCAAACAAGUUCAGGGCUUGUGAGUUCCUGAUUCGAUUCCAUGAGCAACAACGUGGAGACAAGAUAAUUGUGUUUGCUGACAAUCUAUUUGCACUAACAGCUUAUGCAAUGAAACUCCGCAAGCCAAUGAUUUAUGGUGCCACAAGGUGACUUUACAUUUAUGCAGAUGUUACCUAGUUUCCUCUAGUUUGCGCUUAUUUAUCUUUGAAUCACAUUCAGCCAUGCGGAGAGGACAAGAAUUCUCUACCAAUUCAAGAACAGUCCAGAAGUCAAUACAAUUUUCCUUUCAAAGGUGUGAUUACUGACUAUCUAAUAUUAAAUAUGUAUUUCAAAUCAACUUACUGUCAGCAAUGUUGGUGACUAUAUGCUAUUUCCUGUUAGGUUGGUGAUAACUCGAUUGAUAUCCCAGAAGCUAAUGUUAUCAUACAAAUAUCAUCUCAUGCUGGUUCAAGGCGUCAAGAAGCUCAGCGUCUGGGACGUAUUCUCAGGGCAAAGGUACUAUUGGACCAUUUGUUUCAUUUUACAUACAAGCUGGCUGUAAUUGCUGCACUUGAUCCUUUGGCAUUCAAAAUUAUUCUGUGUGGAUGUUUCUGUUCCUUUUGACACUCAAAAUUAUUCUGGACAUUUAGAAGUCAUCAUAAAUUACACAUUAUGGUGAAAUUCUUUUAACACAGUAAACUUCAACGUUAUAAAUUUUGAUUGACAUCCAACAUAACAUAUUGCUGUUGUGCUGUGGCAAAGCUUGUGACUAAAUUGUCACUCCUGCUGACCUUGUAUUUGUAGUAGUUGCACAUAGGUUGUUUAUUUGCACACUAUCCUAUUUACCAGUGUGGGGCUACCAACCUGGAUUUCGGUUUCAGCUUAUAGUUAUGAGAGUCACUUUGAUGUGGCCAAUAGAUUGGGGAUAAAGUGAUACAUAAAUUAUUUGGAAGACUUAGAUCUAAACUGCAACAGUCCUAUAAUGAAUAUCAUGAAUUGUGUAUUCUCAUUAAAUCUCUUGUAAAUUAUUGUGACCUCAGGGUAAGCAUCAAGAUAGGAUGGCUGGAGGAAAAGAAGAAUACAAUGCUUUUUUCUAUUCUCUAGUGUCAACCGACACACAGGUUAGUCUCACUGGAUUACUCAUUUCCUCAUUAUUUCCCCCUUUUUUUACUGGAAACACCAGCAUGCAUAUAUGUUAUGACAGCCCUGUAAAUUAUCUUCAGUAUAUCAGGAUGACAUUCUUUUUUGCUGAUGCAGGAGAUGUACUACUCAACAAAAAGGCAGCAGUUUCUUAUUGACCAGGGAUAUAGCUUCAAGGUAUGGCCUCUGGAGCAUUCUUAAGUUGUAAAGAAUUAUACUGUAAUUUGACUCUUACCCAUAGUACGUGCAGCUGCCCGCACCUGCUGAGAUUGUUCUUUUGGCACAUUUUAGUGAUGAAAUAUUGUACUUGCCAGGUUAUCACUAGUUUGCCGCCACCUGAAGAAGGACCUAAUCUGAGCUAUUACACGCUUGAUGAACAGCUUGAGCUUCUGGGCAAGGUGGGCAUUUCUGUACCCCAUUGGUUGUAGGUCAUAGUUCCCUUGUUGGUUGUUACUGACUGUGCAGAUGCCCCAUUCACCACUUCCAACAGGUGCUGAAUGCAGGGGAUGACAUGAUUGGCGUUGAGCAUUUGGAAGAAGACUCUGAUGGCAAGGCUCUUCUGAAAGCUCGUCGCUCUGCCGGAUCGAUGAGUGCCUUUUCUGGAGCCGGUGGAAGGGUUUACUUGGAAUACAGGUGCUGCAUCUAUCCACUCUUCCUCUGUUUUUUUAUUUGGUGCCAUAUCCAACCUCAUCGUUAACUGGAUGCACAUCGCCUGUGUCCUGUUCUUCCAGCACGAAGGGGAAGGGUGCUCCGAAGAAACCCAAGGACCCAUCAAAGAGGCAUCAUCUGUUUAAGAAGCGCUACCAGUAGGAUGCCAGAGAAGUUGUGUAGCCUGUUAUGCUUUGCUGACAAUGACCUGGUUCAUGAGAACCUUCUUGCUUGGCAUGAAAAUGUCGUUGGUUUUAACAGAGAAGCCAGGUUAUGCAAAGCUGUCACUUUCUGUUAGGGCAACCGUACUAGCAAUUUCCCUCGUUUUGAGCAAGGUUUCUGAGCAAUUAUAUCGAGGACAAUUUUGGUCUUUGGCUUACGCCUGCUGCUUUCUGUUCGCAAACGAGGAUGUAUGUCUUCUUGAAAAAUGUAAAUAUUGUGUAAGGCUUGUGUGCACAUUGAGCUAUAAGCACGCUAAAGCUGCAACGCGUCAUUAGCGAUGCUGAACGACCUGGCGCUGGCCUUAAUAUUUUAACUCCAAAGAAAUUUAAAUUUUACAAUCCUGUGUAUGAUGCAGUAUGGUCAAUGGUUACCAGUUUGAUGUCUUGUGAUUAUUGUUCAUGAGCAUUGCAACGUUUGUUCAAUUUUGAUGGUGCAACUUUCCUAAUAUGCUUAAUUUCCUUCUUUCUGCCCUUAAAUAGAAAUGAGGCCUGCAUAUGACAUUAUUUAAAUUCUCAAGAUAAACAUGUAUCAAACGGUUGACUACCGUCCACCCUUGCCCCGUCAAAUCCAUCAAAUAACUGGAAUGGCUUCAUGUCAGAUACACCACCGAACUUUAGGAACAACAUUUUGGACGAUAUCGUCACUUUGGCCGCUAUUUUCUAUUAGAUAUAACUAAGAGGUGUAUAAUAAAGUAAUAGUCUAAUAAAAUUGUUUUCAAUACAAAACAUAUAGUGGAGUAAUGUUUAUUAUACAUUUACAGUUUCUGAAGUUUUACAAAUCUUUUCCGAGAAUCCGUCGAAACGCAAGUUUAUCAGCAGAUAUACAUGCGUUCCGCUUAUAUAUACUCCAAAACAAAAUUGCAAAGAAGAAAACGGAAAUUGCUGACGAGUCUCCCAUCCAAUUCGCGACCCCGUCGUCUCGUGCAGUCGCAAGCACGAGGCUGUGAGCGAGCCAGCCAAGACGCUCUUCGAUUUGCCCUCACUCCAGCCCAGCCAGCCAGCCGCCCAAAAAGCCAGGCGCAAAUCACAACCUCGCCUCCUGUCCCCUCCCCUCGCUCCUCGUUCCCCUCUCGCCGCCCGCCCCCGGCCGCGAUCGAGGCGGCGCCAAUAACCAAGGGCGGGCCUCACCCUUAGCAGUGAUAAUGUAUUCGCCAUACUGACAUGACACCCUAUAAUGAAAAUGAAAACCCCAUUAUAUUGGCACUAGCCCUUAGGAUUCUUUUUCUCCUGUGAUGUAUCAUGUAUGCAUUCGUCCCAAGUAUAUUAAUUAGAAAUUUUUGCAAUAUCCCCCUUCUUCCCUCAUUUUGAUUUCAUAUGGCUAUAUAUUUUAGCUUGUAACAUACAUCGCAUGUUUGUAUCCAUUUGGUACCACAAAUAGCUGGAUACACAUGAAAUGCUUAUUUAGCAUGCAGGCAUGCUAAUAUUAUUGUGACUUGUCUUUAGGUGUAUGGUUUCUAUGAUGAGUGCCAGUGAAAGUAUGGGAAUGCCAAUGCAUGGCGGUACUGCACUGAUGUUUUUUAUUACCGUACGCUUUCAGCAAUCAUUAAUGGAUAAGUAAGUUCCUCUGGGCAAAGAAUUUGCAGAUUGUCAGUUCAUGUUAUUUGGGACAAGUCAUACUUAAAUUAUAUGCUGAAUUCAGGUCCUCUGUGUUCAUGGCGGUCUUUCUCCUGAUGUACGCACCAUUGAUCAGGUUCGUGACUUUUCUUCUGUGGCUUUCUUAUAGUUAUUAUACUCAUCGGUCCAUAGAUGUUUAUAGCUUCCAUAUUUCCUGUCUUGUAGGUAUGCCAUACUUAGUGAAAAUAUGUGAAGUAGAAAUAUAUUUUACUUGGUCUAUGAAAGGAUGAAAUGAUUACAACUAUUUGAAAUUUCCAUUGUCACCAAUGAUGCAAAAUUAAUGUUUCAGUGCAUGUCUGCUAGAACUUUUGAAUGAGCGAACAGUUUAUAUAUAUUAUUUUCAGUGAUUUCUCUGUUCUUUUUUCAGCUGGUUGUGCUAACUCUUUUUUUUAAAAAAUGUUUGCUAUAUAAUUUCCUUCAGGAGUAAGAACAGUUAUCAUCAAUGAACUGGUGGUGCUAAUUGUACAGUAAGAAUGGUUAUCAUCAAUGAACUGGAAAGUAACUGGCCCUUAGCAUUGAUGACUCAUUUUUGUGAAGAAUGGUAGAGUAUCUGAUUCUGGGGUUGAUUUGGCCUUAGCAUUUCUGACUUGUUUUCUGAAGAAUAGUAGAGUACAUGAUUCUGUUGCUUUUUAUGAAUAAAUGUUUCGAUGAGAUUAAACAUUUGAUUAUCUUUUAUCACUAGAUACGAACAAUUGAUCGCAAUUGUGAAAUUCCCCACGAAGGUCCUUUCUGUGAUCUUAUGUGGAGUGACCCUGAAGAGAUAGAGACAUGGGCUGUUAGUCCCCGUGGUGCAGGUUGGCUGUUCGGAUCACGAGUCACAGCAGAGGUGUGCAUACAAUCUUUCUUGUUAUUUUAUUAUUCCGAAUCGCCCUUCUAUUCAGUCCUUGUAAAUGCCACUUUUUGCUAUGCAGUUCAACUUUGUUAACGGUAUCGAGCUAGUUUGCCGAGCUCGCCAGCUGGUGCGGGAAAGCUUAAAGUACAUGUUUCAGGAGAAGGGCCUUGUGACUGUUAGUUCUUAUUCCCACAUAGAUUGUCACUCGAGAUACUGGUAGCAUCAUAUUAGUAGUUUCUAUUUUUUUUUAUUUCAGCAUGACUGAAUUAUUACAUUUGAAUUGUUUAUGAUGCUUUGUUUGUACUAUUUCUUUCCAGGUGUGAUCUGCACCUAAUUAUUGCUACAGAUGUGGCAAUGUAGCUUCCAUACUAAGCUUUGAUGAAAAGAUGAUAUGUUGUUUCGUUUAGAAGAGUUUGCUUGAAGUCUUCUGCAUACCUGAUUACUCUUGAGUAAAUUCAUACAAUAAGUUCAGCUCAAUCUUCAGCAUGUUUUAUUGUGCAUAUACACAAGCAGUUUUUGUACAUGUGAAUGGGCAACAGAAAAGCAACCGGUGUUUCUGGCCAAUAUUUUUAGAUCUUUACUUAGUGAAGUGGUUAUACAAGUGAAUGUUACGUACAUCUAGGUGGGGUCUCUCCUUUGUUCUGCAACUCACCAAGUUUUUGUUAAGACAUUUUCUAUGCUUGCUAGUGAUAGCUGAUAGGCAGGGGCUGGAAAAUAAGGAAUAAAUCAUAGUCUUUUGAAUAGGGGCAGGGUUUCAGUUGGACCGUCAAUGAAAUAAGCAAAUUGUUGUCUUUCUGCAUCAACCAUGCUUUUUUGGGGAAUCAAGCAGACUUUGUGGUUUAGUGGUUCAUCAGCAACAGUUAUGCAUGUGGGUUUGUCUUGGCUGAGGAAGAGGGGUCCAAGUUGCCAUGAAAAGGCAAAGUCUGCUCGCUUUUGUCAACAAGUACCAGCAGACCUCUGAUUCUUUUUCGCAUUAACAUCUGAUUGCUCCUAGUUUUGCAUCACCAAUUGUCGUGUAUCUUGUUUACGACUGCAUGGUGGUUGGCAUGUUAUGCUCCACUGCGCUUUGCUUAACUUAAACCAAAGUGUAAUGAGAUGUAGCUGAUGCUGAUCAAUGCUGUAUACUUUUCUGUUGCCAGGAAAGAGACGUCAAGUUCUUCACGGAGACAGAGGAGAACAACCAGAUGCGAGGCCCAAGGACCGCAGUCCCAUAUUUCCUCUGACUUCAAUUGUACAAUUUUAGAAGUCAAACGUUUAAAUCUGUAAGGGCUAAAAGAUCAACCAGAGGUGUUUGUUGUUGUAGGUUCAGAUCAUAGUGCAAUAUGAUGCAUUUGAUUUCUCCAUUUUCUUUUAACCACAUGUACAUAGACCAUCGGGAGUCAUGUUACUGUAUCCCUUCAGUGACACCGUCAAGUUUUGUUCUUGAUUUAUUUCACGUGCUAUUUAUCAUCGUGGACCGCGCAUGCGUUGCGCAACAGAAAUGUUUCUGCUGCCUGUUUAUUUUAUUUCUGAUGUGAUAUUUUCCUUUUAGUUUGCACUCGCCUAGUAAGAUAUUUUUCUUGUAAACAUCUCGUGUGCGCACUUCCUGGCAUAUAUUCUUGGUUGGAUAGCACCAGGUAUUUAUUCGGUAAUGCAGUUUGAUUCUGCGUGAUAAACCACUCCUAAUCUUAUUUGCAAGCGUUUAACGUGAGACACGCGGAACCGAAUUCAUCACCGGGUUGCGCAUGAAAGCAACAGUUGCGACGAUUGUAAAGUCCCGUUUGGAUACUCCUGCUAAAGUUUAGCACCUGUCACAUCGGGUGUUUGAAUGCUAAUUAGGAAUAUUAAAUAUAGGCUAAUUACAAAAUUAAUUACACAGAUGGAGUUUAAUUCGCGAGACGAAUCUAUUAAACCUAAUUAGUCCAUAAUUUGACAAUGUGGUGCUACAUUAACCAUUUGCUAAUGAUGGAUUAAUUAGGCUUAAUAGAUUUAUCUCGCGAAUUAGCAUAGAGAUUCUGCAUUAGUUUUAUAAUAGUUUAGUACCUGUCACAUCGAGUGUUUGGAUGCUAAUUAGGAAUAUUAAACAUAUACUAAUUACAAAAUUAAUUACACAGAUGGAGUUUAAUUCGCGAGACGAAUCUAUUAAACCUAAUUAGUCUAUGAUUUGACAAUGUGGUGCUACAUUAACCAUUUGCUAAUGAUGAAUUAAUUAGGCUUAAUAGAUUUGUCUCGCGAAUUAGCAUAGAGAUUCUGCAAUUAGUUUUAUAAUUAGCUCAUAUUUAGUCCUCCUAAUUAGCAUCCGAACAUCCGAUGUGACAUUGCUAAAGUUUAACACCUAGUAUCCAAACAUCCAAGUGUAGCAUCCAGCAUACAUACCAAGUAUCUGCUCACCAUCGGCCAGUGACCAAGCAGGGCGCGGGUUUGCUGCGCGGCAGAGGCCACGAGCAGAUCAAGAUGCCUGCGCCGCACGGCGGGGGUUACGGGCUUUACGGGCGCACGGCGUGUCGCCCACCUGCCCGCUCUCCAACGGAGCGGAGAAGGCAUGCCCUCCGCUGCCUGUCUCCUCCCUCGCCCGCCCACCGGCGCGAACGAAUCUCACUUCUCAGUGACCGCACGCGAUGCGCACGAGCGCCGCCUUGGGGUGGGCACCGAGCCGCGUCACCGGCGCCCGACAGCGAUCGCCGUUUGCAUCGUCCUCCGGCCGCCGUCUCUUUUUUUUCCUUGCUCUCGGUUAGAUGUACCCGUGAUUCGCUGCCCUCCCCGCCCACCCGGGCAGCUUUUGGGUUUGGACGGCGCGCGCCGUGCCGCGGCCUCAGAUCGUCGUCGUCCUCACGUGACCGGGGCUCCCCUCGGUUAAACAAAGCUUCGCCGUGCAUGUCAGGUGUCAGGUCGUGUCCUGUCUCGUGUGCUCGACUUCUCGUGCGACGGUGCGAGUGCGAGUGCGAGUGCGAGUGCGAGUGCGAGCCCGUGCCCCACGGCAGGUCGAACAACAACAGACUGCUAAAUCGGUGGAGCCUGCGGGCAUCUUUUGGCAGGCGGAGGCUGUGCUGUGCUUGUUCCUUUUCCCAAUUUUCAUGAUCGUUCAGGUGGCCCGUACUGUCUUUACUCCCCACUUCAUUUAAUACCGCUAGUGGUCUUUGAACUUUUGUUUGAAAAAAAACGGAUUCAAAUCUCACCGUGUUUGUAAUAACUCCCUUGAAUGCACGUGCUCCCUCCAUCCCAAAUUAUAAGUCGCUUUGAUUUUUUUGAUACAUUCAGGCUCCGUUUUCUUCCACUGACUUAUUUUUAGCACCGUCACAUCAAAUGUUUAGAUACUAAUUAGGAGUAUUAAGCGUAGACUAUUUACAAAACCCAUUACAUAAAUCGAGGCUAAACGGCGAGAUGAAUCUAUUAAGCCUAAUUAGUCCAUGAUUUGACAAUGUGUUGCUACAGUAAACAUUUGCUAAUGAUGGAUUAAUUAGGCUUAAUAGAUUCGGCUCGCCGUUUAGCCUCCACUUAUGUAAUGAGUUUUGUAAAUAGUCUACGUUUAAUACUCCUAAUUAGUAUCUAAACAUUCGAUGUGACACGUGCUAAAAAUAAGUCAUCGGAAGAAAACGCCCCCUCACUUUGCUAUGUAUAUAGAUAUAACAAUAUGUCUAGAUGUAUAACAAAGUGGAUGUACCAAAAAAGUCAACUUAUAAUUUGGGAUGGAGGGAGUAUUUAUUUUUUUUCAAAUGAAUGCACCCAUACGUAUGUUUGACCGGCAACGGAUCGAUACCUCACCAGUCCACUUCUCAACAGCAGAAAAUAACGCUGUGUUUCGAUUUUCUAGUUUUCUUUCGCAGAAUGAUGGGAGAUGCAAAUGAUAAUGCAGCUCUCGAUGAUUGAUCGAACCAUGUAUGUAGAAAAGAAAAGAGAGAAAUGCACCUGUACACUUGGCCUUGUAAGAUCGGCGUGAUGGAACGAACGAUCCGGUUUCGCCAGAAAUCAUUUUUUUUUCUGGACGAGCUAAACAGAGCCGCGAAGGAGCAAAUCGAAACAGCAGCAUAUCCUACUUGGCAUGGCAGAUGCUCUGGUUGUGGGCAAAAUUGCAGAGCAAAAAAAAAUUGUGUGUGUGUGGGUGGGGUGGGGGGGGGGGAUGUCAGUAACUGACUAACUUGACGCUACCUCCUCCGAUCCCGAGGCGGCGCCGCGGCGGCGGCGGUAGACGCGCCGGCUGCGGCUGCUAGGAUGUCCGGCCUCCACGCGCACGCGGCGACCGCGACCGAGCCGGGGCCCGGUCCUCCUCCCGCCCCAUUGCCCGCCUGCCGGCGCCGCCCCGCAGGAACUCCCCGACCUCGGCGUCCGAGAACGACGACGAUCCCCCCGGCGCGAGCCGCCGCCGGGGCCGCCGCCUCCACCUGCCGCAGCACCGCCUCGCGACGCGGAGCGGCGCGCGCGCCACGCAGCAGAGCACGGCCACGGGCAGGCACGCGCAGAGCACGCAGCACGCCGCCGCGCACUCCGCCACCGCCGCGCGGCUCCCGGCGGUGGGGUCCGCGGGCGGCGCCGCCGGGGACGCGCCGGGCCCGGGCCCUCCUCCCGGCCGCUUCUUCGCGGGGACCUCGGCCGCCGCCUUCUUCCUUCGCGUCAUGCCCCUCCGGCCCUCCGCGCUCGCUUGCUUAGUUGCUUCUCCCUUCCCGACUCCCCGCGGCGGCCGUGGCUUGCUUUGGCUUCCGGCGCGGGGGAUUCGCUUACGAGGCGUGGGGGUCGUGGGAGAGAGGGGCUCUCUCUCUUCGCUCUCUCUGUUGCGCUGCUGUCUGUUGCUUCGCUUUUAAAUUAGGAACCCCUGUCAUGUAGGCCAGGCUUCCUGUCUGUCACAUCAUAUCUCUCUGGGAGAAGAUUUAAAUUUCAAAGAUUUAAAUUUCAAGUAAAAAAGAUGGAUAUAAAUUUGAUUGGAAUUAGUCACUCGGCGGCGACGCGGAUAUGUUCGGUCUCGGCCUUUUGAAUUCCGAGCCGAAAGCUCAGAGGGUCCUGGCGGCGCAUCCCCGAGUGCCGUCGCCGCCGAAGCGACGCGAGGACGCUAGCGCCAACUCGCCAAGCCCCCGCCGCUCCGUCCAAGCGCCGCCGUCCAUCAGCCUUCCCAACCGGCGCCGCUGCCCCUACGCCUUCCCGUCCGGCACCGCUGCCCCUACGCCUCUCCACCUCCUCGGACCUGCAACGGCGCCUCCGGCCUCCGCCUCGGCUGCCACUUCCGCAUCCACCACGGCGUCGGCACCUCGUCUUCCUCGGCUGGCAUAUGUGAGUCCUCCUCCUCCCCCUCCCCCUCCCCCCUCCCCCUCUCCUACUGCCUAGGGUUUUUACUCAUCUUUCCUGAUUCAUAGUUCUUGUAGAUCGUGUUGAGUUCAAGGCUUUCAGCUCCACAGCUUCAAGAUCCACUCCUUGUGCAUCUCUUCACUGGAUAGUAAGCCUUCCAUUCUUUUGAUUGCCAAGGACGAAUUGCUUGUUCCGAGUUGUAUCAUGCUUGCUGUAAAAUGUCGAUUCCCAUGUUCAUGUGUGAUGCAUAUAAUCUGUUGCAAAAUUGUUAAAAGACAAUAUUGCAACAUGUGAAAUUUUGCAUAUUUGAACAAACAAAGAAAAUGAAAGAAUUGGUUUCAGCCAAGGGAGGUAGCAACUAGCAAGUAGAAAAACUUAGUAGAAAUCUCACGUUGUUGACAUAGUAUCUCAAUAUCAGUAGAUGCUCCAACUCAGGUCUACAAUCUGCAUUGUUUUUGUUCUUACCAAUAGAUGCUCCAACUCAGGUCGUUGACACAAUAUCUCAAUAUCACGCAGCUUCGAGAAGUAGAGAUCUCUUUCUUUCUCCAUGCUGUCCACAGAAACUUUCAGGUCUGCAAUGUUCAAUUCAACGAAGGAAGUAGAGAUAUCAACAACUACAAUUAAUUCAACAUCACUACUGUUGUUUUGAAGUACUAGUUCAUGUGAUGACUCGAUUAAAGGUCACAUCUGUCAGUAUAAAGAGAUCAAGUACUGUAUCUAGCUGCAUGCUUGUUGACUGUAUUGCACAUGCUGCAGCACUAAACAACUACUGUUUGAAUCAUGCUGCCAAUCUGAAAUAACUACCGCUCCUGUGCUAAUAUGCUAAUCUGAAAUAACUACUGCUCCUGUGAAAUAACUAUUUUCCUUGCAUGGUUUACUGAAGACGGAAGUAUCAGGGUAGCUGAUUUCUUCUGUGCUUGAAUCAUGCUGCCAAUCUGAAAUAACUAUUGCUCAUGACAAGGUAGCAAUGGGAAUAACUAAAUGCAAUAUGUUUCUUGCAGUGAUGGUGAUAUUCUUAAACUAGCGGUCACAUUACUCAUAGUAGGUAAUUAAAAGUGCAGUACUCAUGCGGCAACAGUUGAGUUAAAAGCAUAGUUUUAUACAAUAAUUUUAAUGGCUCCUUUGUAGUGCGAUCACUCUAUUGAUCUCAUCAGUUGACAAACAUAUAUAGUUCACCCAGUACCAAUGCGUUAGCAUGUAUUACUAUUUCAAUUUAAGGUAACUGACUGUUCUGUAAAUAGGCCAAACUACACUCUGAUUAGUUCAUUAAUGAUAGAUCAUUUGGCUUUCAAAUCUGACAGAUCGGCAGUAACAAGAACUAGAAAUCUGAUAGAUAUUGGCAGAGAAACACUUCUAGGUUGCAUGUGACUUUGAUUUAAAUUUCACUUUCAUCUCAUGUGACAUAGUUUACUUGCCUUACCAUAUACAUACAUAUAGAUAAUGGAAUCUUGGGAGGAUGAAGUUAGGAGAUUCAUGCUAGAGGAGGAAGAAGAGGAUGACGAGCUAUUCCUAGUUAUGGUCCCCAUGCUUCAGCAGUGUCUAUAUGAGGAGAAAAUCCCGUCGUAUUCCCGAGGCUGGAAGCCCGCGCGGAGAACUGGUCAUGGGCGAAGUUACCCCAUCAUUUGGGAGAACACAAGAUGGGGGCACCUGACCCGAUCCGCGAGUUUUCCGCGUGCCAAGCCCUCCCCACCUCGAUGGUCUGGCCGCCUCUUCCCCGCGGCUCCCCGAGCGACGCAGCGCCGUCGCCCGUGCGGCUCCCCCUCUCUGCGCCUCGCCAUCGCCUCCCCGUCCUCGCCGUCGCCUCCCCGUCACCUCUCCAUCCCUGCACCGGCUCGAUCUCCACCACUGCUCCGUGACUGCCCCGCCUUGCCUCGUCCCAAGAUCCGGUGAGCCCUUCCUCUCUCCUCCUUGUCCUCCCCAGAUCGAGCUCCUGCUACUUGGAUCGAGCCCUUCCUCUCUCCGUGACUGCUUGUGCUUUUUUUAUAGAUAGAUGUGUGUUAGAUGUUUUUAAGUUCUUCCUUCGGUUCAUCUUAUUUCUAGAUCCCUAGAACUGGUAAUGCUUUCGUCUUAGGCGCUAACUAGUUCAUUACGGUUUACUCUUAGCGACAGCUACAGAUUAUAGAGAUGCAUCACUGUAAAAAAUGGAAUCCUGUACUAAUGUCUGCACCCUUUGGAAAGCUUUGACUUUGUUCUAGUUAUUUAGCUUCAAUGCUUAAUUGCUUGUCAUUCUUCCUGGAAUGAAAAAUAUCAUGCUAUUGUCUCUUAUAAAUCUUGAUGAGGUUCAUCAGUGUUUUGGAUGAGGUUCUUGCUAGCCUGAUGAGAGAAAAAAAUCCUGAUGUUACACAUACACAUGACUGGUAGAAUAGACAUUGCACUGCAAUGUUCUUAUUGAAAUCUGGAAGUUAGGUUUGGAUUGUUCUUGUUAUUUAUGUUCAGUGCAUAAUUGCUUGUCAUUCUUGCUGUAAGGGGAAAAAAAUCUUGUUGUUUCUCUCUUGUAAAAGUACUAGAUUUGGAUGAGGUUCCAAUCCAUUACUAGCUGUUCUUGCCAACCAGAUAAAAAAUAAAGCCAUCUGUAAUGUUUUAGAAAUGUGUAAUGUUUUAAGGUUCAGUACAUUUUUUUUUGUGUUCUCAUUUCCUUCCACUCAUUCUUGGUAGAUAAACUGUAGACAUUUGUUGUGGCGUAUUAUUAGAUAUUCAGGUCUUUUGAUGCAGUGCAGAAUAAAAAAAAUAUGAUUACUGAAUAAAACUACAAAUGCAAGGUUGCUGAUCUUUGUUCUUGAAACUAAUUUCAUGCUUAUGGAACCUAUGAGUUUUAUGUCAUUGUUUCUGUGUUAUUCUGUGACUUUCAACAUCCAAGAUGUGUUUAAUACUGGCGAUUCCGUCCCUAAGAAAGAAGAUCAACAUGAUUAAUGGAAAACAACCACUACUUGGAGCACAACCUUAUCUGAACCAUUCUUGUUGGCGCAGUUCUUCGUUUUGUUUGUUGUGUGCGGUGUGCUUCCUCAAAUCAAGCCUUACUCAUGUGCUGUCUGAUUUUUUUUUCCUUAAGGCUGCUAUAAUUUAUCAAAUCUGGUUAAAAGAUGUAGAAGCACUGCAGUUUAAUAAAUCUGAUCUCAACUGUUAAGUAACGAAGACCAGAGAUUUCUGUAUCUCUGAAAUUACAAUGUCUUAUUGUUCUCUCUGAUAUCCUUCAACUUACAAUUUUUAAUUGGAUUAUAUCCGUUAGCAUUUGCUCAACAUGGUUGAACGCCUUUUGAGUGCAUUAAAUCCAUGGUUAUCAAUACUAUGUGGAAAUAUGGAAUAUUGCUGCCUUUCUCAGAGGAGAUCCAAGAAUAAAGCUAUUUCUUUUGCAACAUUAGAUGUAGCUAAGCCUCCAUAUAAUAAUGAAUCCUGAACCUAUGAUCUAUUUGGCUUGAAUCAGCCUGUAGACCUAUGAUCUGUUUGCCAUAUUAAGUCACUGUUCUUCUGAUGUCAAAAUGCUAUUCUGAACCUAUGAUCUGUUUGCCAUCUUUUUGAUCCUGAACCAAAAUGCUAGCUUAUAUCAUAUAUUCUUGCAAGUAUUCCAGUUUUCAUAACCUGAGCUUUUUCCUUUUCUUAUCUAGACCAUAUGCAUUUGAGUGACAUAGUUUACUUGCCUUACCAUAUACAUACAUAUAGAUAAUGGAAUCUUGGGAGGAUGAAGUUAGGAGAUUCAUGCUAGAGGAGGAAGAAGAGGAUGACUAUUCCUAGUUAUGGUCCCCGCGCUUCAGCAGUGUCUAUAUGAGGAGAAAAUCCUUAGGAUUGAGCGAGAGUAGACUCAAGUCACUCUGAUCGAACUAGUUAGAAAUGUCACUGAUGCUGGAGUUAUGCGCAGAACUAGCGUUGAUCAUGCAAAACAACAACCACCGAACGAAUCAUGGUUUGGUUAUUUAUUUUAAUCUUUAUUUUUGAACCAAGAGGGAAGCAAACCAAAUAAUCAAACUUAUUCUGUUAUAAAAGGGCACAAUAUGGUCUGAAUCUGGUCUUGAUCGGUUAUUGUCUUUCAUGAUGUUAAAUCCCAAUUCAGUAGUUAUCCAGAUGCAAAAUAUAUUAUGUGAUAGUAGCAUACUGCAAACUGACCACAACUCUAUGGCCUUAAUGGAGCUCUUGUGCAUUCAUAUUAUUGAUAUUUUCCUUACCGCUUCUGCCCAAUUUGAAGCACAGUGUGUAUGAUACUUCUUUCUAAGUAAGUUCUCUUUGUUUGAUGAUACAGUGAUGCCACGACUUCUCUUUUGAGGAUUUAAUGUGCACAGUGAUAUUCUGCUAGCGUUAUGCUCUUCAACUUACCGGAAGCCGCAAAACGAAUUGGAGUAAAGUUCCUAUCAGUUGCAAGUGCAGAAUGCUUUGGUCGAGAUAUCUCCCCGAUGCAUUUUGCAUCCCUGUUAAAGGAAUGCAGGUCUGUGAAUAUAGUUCGUCAAAUUCACCAGAAGAUAAUUGCUUUGGAUCUUCUUUCUUGUCCAGCGUCAUUGCUGUCAGUGUCACUUCCACCACUUCCAUCACAUUCAUAUAUAUUACCAAAAUCUUUGGGUACUGGUGUUGUAGCUUCUUAUCUUGCUUUUGGUGCUACAAGCGAUGCUCUCUCAGUGUUGGAGCGUGUCACACCAUCACCAGCCGUAUGGUGGAAUCUACUCAUACGAGAACACAUCAAGGAAGGCCGCCUUGACAGGGCAAUUGGUGUAUCUUGCCGCAUGCUGCAUGCUGGAACUAGGCCAGACCAUUUUACUCUGCCGUAUACGCUAAAAGCAUGUGGAGAGCUGCCUUCAUACCGUUGUGGUAGCACAUUCCAUGGACUCAUAUGUUGCAAUGGAUUUGAGUCAAAUGUCUUUGUAUGCAAUGCAUUGGUGGCAAUGUAUGCACGCUGUGGUUCUUUGGAUGAUGCCAGUCUGGUGUUUGAUGAAAUGACUUGGAGGGGAAUUGAUGAUGUUAUCUCAUGGAAUUCAAUUGUUGCUGCCCAUGUUAAGAGUAAUCAUCCAUGGACUGCAUUAGACCUGUUUUCAAAGAUGGCAUUGAUUGUCCAUGAAAAAGCUACAAAUGAAAGGUCAGAUAUCAUUAGCAUUGUCAACGUUCUUCCUGCAUGUGCUUCUCUAAAGGCAUUGCCUCAAACUAAAGAAAUUCACGGCUAUGCCAUUCGGAAUGGCACAUUUCCAGAUGCUUUUGUAUGCAAUGCCCUGAUUGAUACCUAUGCAAAGUGCGGGUCAUUGGAGGAUGCAGUAAAGGUUUUCAAUGCAACGGAACUCAAAGAUGUGGUUUCUUGGAAUGCAAUGGUUACUGGGUACUGCCAAAGUGGGGAUUUUGAGGCAGCCUUUGAGCUUUUCAAGAAUAUGCGCAAAGAAAAUAUCCCACUAGACGUGAUAACAUGGAGUGCUGUAAUUUCAGGGUAUGCUCAGAGGGGAUGUGGCCAAGAGGCCCUUGAUGCUCUCCGGCAAAUGUUUCUUUAUGGAUCAGAGCCAAAUUCUGUCACAAUCAUCUCUGUGUUGUCUGCCUGUGCUUCCUUGGGAGCAUUGUCUCAGGGUAUGGAAACCCAUGCGUACUCUCUGAAGAAAUGCCAUCUACUCUUGGAUAAUCAUUUUGGUGGUGAUGGGGAUGGUGAGGAUCUAAUGGUGCACAAUGCGUUAAUAGAUAUGUACUCAAAGUGCAGAUGCUUGAAAGCUGCACGUUCCAUAUUUGAUUGCAUACCUCGAAAGGAACGCAAUGUGGUAACUUGGACUGUCAUGAUUGGUGGGUAUGCGCAAUAUGGGGACUCAAAUGAUGCCCUCAAGCUUUUCUCGGAGAUGAUUUCAAAACCUUAUGCAGUUUCUCCAAAUGCUUAUACAAUUUCCUGCAUUUUGAUGGCCUGUGCACAUUUGUCUGCUCUUCGUGUGGGUAAGCAGAUCCAUGCUUAUGUCACCCGCCACCAUCACUACGAAGCAUCUGUGUACUUCGUGGCAAACUGCCUUAUUGAUAUGUACUCAAAAUGUGGUGAUGUCAAUACUGCUCGAAAUGUAUUUGAUAGCAUGCCUAAAAGGAAUGAAGUAUCUUGGACUUCAAUGAUGUCAGGAUAUGGAAUGCAUGGUCGUGGUAAUGAGGUCCUGGACAUAUUUGACAAAAUGCAAAAGGCAGGCUUUGCUCCUGAUGACAUUUCCUUCCUGGUUCUUCUUUACGCUUGCAGCCAUUCAGGCAUGGUUGAUAAGGGCCUGGAUUACUUUGAUAGCAUGCGUAGAGAUUAUGGUGUAGUUGCCAGCGCAGAGCAUUAUGCUUGUGUUAUUGACUUGCUGGCUCGCUCUGGGCGAUUAGAUAAGGCAUGGAAAAUAGUUCAGGAAAUGCCAAUGGAGCCUACUGCAGUAAUCUGGGUCGCAUUACUUAGUGCCUGCAGAGUACAUUCAAAUGUGGAACUUGCUGAAUAUGCUCUGAACAAACUGGUUGAUAUGAAAGCAGAGAACGAUGGAUCCUACACGCUGAUAUCCAACAUAUAUGCCACUGCAAGGCGGUGGAAAGAUGUAGCAAGAAUCAGACUGCUGAUGAAGAAAUCAGGGAUUAAGAAGAGGCCAGGAUGUAGCUGGGUCCAGGGUAAGAAAGGCACCGCAUCUUUCUUUGUUGGAGAUCGUUCACACCCUCUAUCUCCAGAGAUAUAUGCUCUUUUAGAGAGACUAAUCAAUCGCAUCAAGGCUAUGGGUUAUGUCCCUGAGACAAACUUCGCACUGCACGAUGUCGAUGAUGAGGAGAAAAAUAACCUUCUUACUGAACACAGUGAGAAGCUUGCCCUCGCAUAUGGCCUCCUCACGACUUCCCCUGGUUGUCCCAUACGGAUCACAAAGAACCUGCGUGUCUGUGGCGAUUGUCACAUUGCAUUCACUUACAUAUCAAAGAUUGUUGACCAUGAGAUCAUAGUGCGAGACUCCAGUCGCUUUCAUCAUUUCAAGAAGGGAUCUUGCUCCUGUGGUGGCUAUUGGUGACUUGAUGAUAUCUCUUCCUGUGAAAGGAAUGGGUGCGGAAGAAAUGCUAAUUAUUUCCCAUAGAAGAAAUACUAAUGUGAUGAUGAUUAUUCUCAAAAGGACUAAUAUGCUCAUGAUUUUGUCAUACUAAUUCAGCAUUCCAGAAAACAGUCACAGAAUUCUGGUUACCAUUGUUUUGAUCUGCUUCUGUGAGAUGUCACCUGCACUGGUAUUUAUGUUAUUUGUCCCUUUUUUUUCAUGCCUCGUGUUGAUUUGUUUUAAGCUGUGACUCUUACCGACAAUCUGCACAGUGCAGCUGCUAUUCUUUUUCCUGAAUAUGUGCCAAUGCGGUUAUAGUCUCAUUACGUACUCAUGUAGUACUCAUUUUGUUUUGUGUUUUGAUCUGUCAUGUUCCGACUUAGGUCUUGUUGAGUUAUUCAAUUGCAAGUAAUACGCUGCUCGAAAGUCUUUUGAAUGGAUAGCACAAGUAGCACAUGAUAAAUAUUGGCAACCUUUUAUUUUUCGUGUUACACCCAUUGAGAUCCUUGGGACUUAUUGUUGAUAUUAUAUUGGAUCAAUUUGCCGAGGAUGUUGAAGCAUAUUGGUAUCUGGCAAUUUUCUUUGUAGCAGGAAUGCUUAAUUGCUUGCCCAUCAGAACCAAUCAUAACAGGUUUAUUAAGACCAGGUUUCAUUUGUUGUAUUGGAAACUUGAUUUGAUUAGCUGAUGCUUUCCUUUCUUGAUUUCAGAUUACAGUUCUGCACUUCCGCUAGAGAAAUUAUUGCUCAGGGAUACAGAUGAAGAUCUGGGUGGGGCCGUGGUGGUCAUGUUGAUGACAUGACCAAACAGACAUAUCUGAAUGAACCUGUUCUUUGCAAUCUGAAGAAAAGAUAAUAAUUGAAUGAGAUAUGUGUUAGUGGUUUACCAUUACCGGCACUGUUUUAUUUACUAUGAUAAUUUGCAUUUGAACUUAAUUGAAAUGUAGGUGAAUUGCUUACCCCGAGACUAACUUUCUCUCUGCAAAUUUACGUACUUGAAUAAUUCCAGUCACAAUGUUUAAAUUUCCAUGUCAUAUUGAUUUAUAGAGCAGCUUUUGCUUAGCACAUUCUCAGACUGAUUUUAGAUGUCUUAAUCAUAAUCAGCUUUGGUAGAAUUUCUGCCAAAUCUGUUGGAAUCGAAUAAAAGCCAUCUACAAUUGAAAAUCUGAUCCAUUAAGGCAAAAUCAUUUGUCUUUGUGAACACAGUAAUGAUGCACUCAUCUAAUGGUUUUCAGCCUCAAUCAAUUCAUGAUAUAAUAAUUAUCCUUUUUCAGUUUAUAGAGCAGAAUGCUGAACAGUUGUAAACUUGAUAUGAUCUCUACUUAAAUAUGAAAAAAAAUCAAUGCCAUAUGUAAUAUCAGGACACUUUUCGUAUUGUUGUUUCUUUUACGCUCAUUACUUUCCAGUUUUGUAUUGUCAAGUACGGAUUGUGUUCCUGUACAAUGAGACAUGAUGGAGAAGGGUGUCAGAUUAGGGGAGUUGAGUCCAUGUGUUAUGCCGUAGCUGAUGCAUCGUACAGCUAGGGUUACAGUGUGAUUGAAUUGCAAGGCACUGCUAUACAAUUUAGUUAUUUUGUUGGCAUUGGCUGAAUUGAUUAGGGCUAUGGUGAAUGAAUCCUGAAGCCAAUCCUUGUUAGUGGUGAAAGUGGUGCGGGCAAAACUGAAAUGACAAAACUUUAUUAUGGAGUAUCUCACUUUUGUUAGUGGUAGAGCCGAACGGUUGAACAGCAGGUUCUAGAAGUAAGUUUUACCAUUGUUUGUCCACUAUAAUUUAUGGAAACUGGGAGUUCUUAAUCUGUUUUUUUGAUGAUUAUGCAUUUUCUGUUGCUACUGCUGAUGAUAAUGUAAUCUUUAUAUGUCUUAAUGUGCUCCCUCCAGUCGAACCCUCUUUUAGAGGCAUUUGGUCAAAUAUUGUGCCAAGGUUCGUGUGUGUUCAUCCAAAUAAUACAUAAUUUCUUCUUUAAUAUGUACAACCUAACCUUUUUGACCGCCUUUUCUUUUGCCAUAUUGUAACCUGAACGCUUUCUUGGUUGCAGCCAAUUCGGAAAACGCUUGGUUGCAGCUGAUUUGGAAAGUUCAUGGAGAUACAGUUUGAUGCAAGUGGUAGAAUAUUGGGCAAACGAUGGAUUGUAAGAACUAACCAUGGCACAUGAAUAUCGGGUUCCGGCUAAGUAGCCUCCCUUGCCAAUCUGCUCUUGUGCAACCUUAGGAUGCGCAACAAAUGGGUUCAGCAAACCACAGGCUAUCUUCUCUUUCUGUCCAUUCGCCACCACAACAUGUGUGAGAAAGUAUUUAAUUGAUGAUCAAAAUAGUUCUCCCAAUACAUUGUUUCAUUUUUGGGCAACAUAAGCAAGAAAGUAUUAUUGUUGGAAACAAUAAUCAGGUAUUUCCAUCUGGAUCUAGACGAAGCCUCUUUUUUCUCACUAUCCACUAUUUCUUUGACACCUCAUCAAAAUACUGACAUGACACCCUAUAAUGAAAAUGAAAACCCCAUUAUAUUGGCACUAGCCCUUAGGAUUCUUUUUCUCCUGUGAUGUAUCAUGUAUGCAUUCGUCCCAAGUAUAUUAAUUAGAAAUUUUUGCAAUAUCCCCCUUCUUCCCCUCAUUUUGAUUUCAUAUGGCUAUAUAUUUUAGCUUGUAACACACAUCGCAUGUUUGUAUCCAUUCGGUACCACAAAUAGCUGGAUACACAUGAAAUGCUUAUUUAGCAUGCAGGCAUGCUAAUAUUAUUGUGACUUGCCUUUAGGUGUAUGGUUUCUAUGAUGAGUGCCAGUGAAAGUAUGGGAAUGCCAAUGCAUGUCGGUACUGCACUGAUGUUUUUGAUUACCUUACGCUUUCAGCAAUCAUUAAUGGACAAGUACAUUCCUCUGGGCAAAGAAUUUGCAGAUUGUCAGUUCAUGUUGUUUGGGACAAGUCAUACUUAAAUUAUAUGCUGAAUUCAGGUCCUCUGUGUUCAUGGCGGUCUUUCUCCUGAUGUACGCACUAUUGAUCAGGUUCGUGACUUUUCUUCUGUAGCUUUCUUAUAGUUAUUAUACCCAUCGGUCAACAUAGAUGUUUAUAGCUUCCAUAUUUCCUGUCUUGUAGGUAUGCCAUACUUAGUGAAAAUAUGUGAAGUAGAAAUAUAUUUUACUUGGUCUAUGAAAGGAUGAAAUGAUUACAACUAUUUGAAAUUUCCAUUGUCACCAAUGAUGCAAAAUUAAUGUUUCAGUGCAUGUCUGCUAGAACUUUUGAAUGAGUGAACAGUUUAUAUAUAUUAUUUUCAGUGAUUUCUCUGUUCCUUUUUCAGCUGGUUGUGCUAACUCUUUUUAAAGAAAAUGUUUGCUAUAUAAUUUCCUUCAGUGGUAAGAACAGUUAUCAUCAAUGAACUGGUUGUGCUAAUUGUACAGUAAGAAUGGUUAUCAUCAAUGAACUGGAAAGUAACUGGCCCUUAGCAUUGCUGACUCAUUUUUGUGAAGAAUGGUUGAGUAUCUGAUUCUGGGGUUGAUUUGGCCCUUAGCAUUUCUGACUUGUUUUCUGAAGAAUAGUAGAGUACAUGAUUCUGUUGCUUUUUAUGAAUAAAUGUUUCGAUGAGAUUAAACAUUUGAUUAUCGUUAUCACUAGAUACGAACAAUUGAUCGCAAUUGUGAAAUUCCCCAUGAAGGUCCUUUCUGUGAUCUUAUGUGUAGUGACCCUGAAGAGAUAGAGACAUGGGCUGUUAGUCCCUGAGGUGCAGGUUGGCUGUUCGGAUCACGAGUCACAGCAGAGGUGUGCAUACAAUCUUUCUUGUUAUUUUAUUAUUCCGAAUCGCCCUUCUAUUCAGUCCUUGUAAAUGCCACUUCUUGCUAUGCAGUUCAACUUUGUUAACGGUAUCAAGCUAGUUUACCGAGCUCACGCUGGUGCAGGAAGGCUUAAAGUACAUGUUUCAGGAGAAGGGCCUUGUGACUGUGAGUUCUUAUUCCCACAUAGAUUGUCACUCGAGAUACUGGUAGCUGUUAGAUGUAUAUGUACUGUUGAUGAUUUACCUUUUGUAUUAGGGGGUUUUCUAUAUAUUUUCCCCUUCUUGUACCUGUAUAUAUAUGGGCCUAGAGCCCCUGUUAUGAAUACAAGUGCUAUUCCUAACAGUAGCAUCAUAUUAGUAGUUUGUAUUUUUUUUUAUUUCAGCAUGACUGAAUUAUUACAUUUGAAUUGUUUAUGAUGCUUUGUUUGUACUAUUUCUUUCCAGGUGUGGUCUGCACCUAAUUAUUGCUACAGAUGUGGCAAUGUAGCUUCCAUACUAAGCUUUGAUGAAAAGAUGAUAUGUUGUUUCGUUUAGAAGAGUUUGCUUGAAGUCUUCUGCAUACCUGAUUACUCUUGAGUAAAUUCAUACAAUAAGUUCAGCUCAAUCUUCAGCAUGUUUUAUUGUGCAUAUACACAAGCAGUUUUUGUACAUGUGAAUGGGCAACAGAAAAGCAACCGGUGUUUCUGGCCAAUAUUUUUAGAUAUUUACUUAGUGAAGUGGUUAUACAAGUGAAUGUUACGUACAUCUAGGUGGGGUCUCCCCUUUGUUCUGCAACUCACCAAGUUUUUGUUAAGACAUUUUCUAUGCUUGCUAGUGAUAGCUGAUAGGCAGGGGCUGGAAAAUAAGGAAUAAAUCAUAGUCUUUUGAAUAGGGGCAGGGUUUCAGUUGGACCGUCAAUGAAAUAAGCAAAUUGUUGUCUUUCUGCAUCAACCAUGCUUUUUUGGGGAAUCAAGCAGACUUUGUGGUUUAGUGGUUCAUCAGCAACAGUUAUGCAUGUGGGUUUGUCUUGGCUGAGGAAGAGGGGUCCAAGUUGCCAUGAAAAGGCAAAGUCUGCUCGCUUUUGUCAAUAAGUACCAGCAGACCUCUGAUUCUUUUUCGCAUUAACAUCUGAUUGCUCCUAGUUUUGCAUCACCAAUUGUCGUGUAUCUUGUUUACGACUGCAUGGUGGUUGGCAUGUUAUGCUCCACUGCGCUUUGCUUAACUUAAACCAAAGUGUAAUGAGAUGUAGCUGAUGCUGAUCAAUGCUGUAUACUUUUCUGUUGCCAGGAAAGAGACGUCAAGUUCUUCACGGAGACAGAGGAGAACAACCAGAUGCGAGGCCCAAGGACCGCAGUCCCAUAUUUCCUCUGACUUCAAUUGUGCAAUUUUAGAAGUCAAAUGUUUAAAUCUGUAAGGGCUAAAAGAUCAACCAGAGGUGUUUGUUGUUGUAGGUUCAGAUCAUAGUGCAAUAUGAUGCAUUUGAUUUCUCCAUUUUCUUUUAACCACAUGUACAAUAGACCAUCGGGAGUCAUAUGUUACUGUAUCCCUUCAAGUGACACCGUCAAGUAUUGUUCUUGAUUUAUUUCACGUGCUAUUUAUCAUCGUGGACCGCGCAUGCGUUGGGCAACAGAAAAGUUUCUGCUGCCUGUUUAUUUUAUUUCUGAUGUGAUAUUUUCCUUUUAGUUUGCACUCGCCUAGUAAGAUAUUUUUCUUGUAAACAUCUCGUUUACGCACUUCCUGGCAUAUAUCUUUGGGGCAUGUUUGUGACUGUUUCACUAGAAAAACAGCUCUAUUUUACCAACUCCAUUCUUUUUUUUAGCUUCGCUCCAUCAACUUCAGAAAAAUAGGAAGCUAUGAAUAUGUUUGGCUAAUGGUGUAAACUCCAUCUCCAGAAAUUAUAGGAAUGCGUGCGAAUAAUUUGUAUUACCCUUGGUUGGGGUUGGGAUAUUUUUUCGCGAGCUACAGUACCCGACUGCUACUGUGACAGAUUGAUGAGUUUUUGCACUGAUGUUAACAUAUUUUUUAUGCCAGCUUAAAUGACAUCAGAGCGGAGUAUAUCAUUCCACCAAAUGUUAAAUUGGAACUGAUUUGACCACAUGUAAAUUAGAAUAAACAAAUGAACGCAGAUUGCGAGAUACAAAGUCAAAUGUUUCAAUCAUUUUUGCAGAACCAGGAUGCACAUAUUCCAACUAGCUAGACCAGUGUUGAACAAACAACUGCUUAACGAGAUCAAGCUAAUCUCAGUCAUCCUACACCUAACCUGACCUGGAUUGUGCUUGUGCUGCUUCCUGACAUCAAAGGAAGAAGUCUUGGAGACACCCAUCUUGCCACCUACAUAUAAUCAUUCUGAUCAAUGGUGGGGAAGAACCACAAGAGUCACCGGUGAUUAACUGGUCCGGCCGCUGCGGCAUCGUCUUCCUCAUCACCAAUUGAUCAGCAUCCAGUCCAGCUUCGAGCCUCAAUUCCGUCCAGAACCAAGGUUACUCACCUCCACCACCUCAAGACCAUGUGCAGGAUCGUCGACCUCCACAGCUGGCGCACCACCAGAACCAUGCCAGGCGAGUGGCCUGCGGCGGCCGACGCCGGCACGACCGCGGAGCACACACGGCCCAACAGCAACACAUUGUCACCGAGGCCACUCGCGGGCAUGCGCACCCACCGCCUCGCGUCCCAGUUGAGCCUGUAGAGCCCGAGGUGCUUGUGGUGAUUGUCCGAGACCAUGAGGAGGACGCGACCGAGCGACUCGACAAAGUAGUGGUGCCACCUGAUCUCCCCUUGCAGGAGCGUAAAAACCGUGUCCCUACCCUCGACCCUAGGCUCCGCGACGGCAAGUUCCACGCGCAGAAGCUUCCUUCGGUCGUCCAUGAGAUACACCGUGGUGCGGACAAAUAUGAGGUCCUUGAAAUCCUCCACGAAAUCCACUCGGGUUCAUGCGGGCACCGUGCCACCGCGAGCAAUCUGCUAUCGCCGACGCAAAAGAGCUCAUCCAGAGGUGUAAAGGGUGCUAAUUUUUCUCCAAGCAGCAGCACCUCCCAGCACAGGCCCUGCGCACCAUCCCACCAUCCUAGCCCUUCACAUGCUGGGGGCUGGAUAUGGUUGGCCCUUUAAAGACCGCUCUGGGUAGAUACACCAAUAUCUUCAUCUUCGUGGCAGUUGACAAAUUCACCAAGUGGACUGAAGUCAAGACUGUCAGCAGCAUAGAGUCGGCCAAAGCCGCUCAAUUCGUCGAAGAGCUUAGACACUGCUUCGGGGUCCCCAAUAGGGUCAUCACUAAACUAGGCAAACAAUUCACAGGAUCCGAGUUUUGGAAUUUUUGCCAGAAUAACCUCAUCGAUGUAUAAUACUGCUCAGUAUCUCACCCACGAUGCAAUAGCUAGGUCGAACGUGUGAAUGGGAUGGUCCUCCAAUCCCUCAAUUCUCGCAUCUUUGAUGAUGCAUCCUAGUACGCCACCAAAUGGCUCCGCGAGUUACUCCACAUCAUUUGGUGCCUUCGCACCCAAAAGAGUCGGGCCACCGGCUACACCCUAUUCUUCCUCGUCUACGGCUCAGAGGCUAUACUGCCAACAAAUGUAGCCUUUGGUGCCCUGUGGAUUCAAUACUACAAGGAAGGGGAAGCAGGAAAGAGUCGGCAAGUCGACAUUGACAGCCUGGAAGAGCAUCGUGUGGCGGCCCUCAUCCAGCAUGCACAACACGAGCAAUAGAUUCAUCACUAUCAUGAUAGGAGCGUCCAGGAAUGCUCGUUCAACGUCGGCGACCUAGUGCUCCACCAGAUCCAGUCCACCAAGGAUAUGCACAAGUUGUCGGCCCCAUGGGAGGGGGCCUUCAUCGUUAAAGAAGUCAUCCAGCCCGGCACUUACCGGCUGCAGUUGGCGGAUGGCUCAGGUGUCCCUAACCCGUGGAACAUUCAACACUUGUGAUGCUUCUACCCUUAGAACAUUUAAGCUAUGUACUCUUCGUACCUUUUACAUUAAAUAAAUAAAACCUCAGAGGUUCUUUGCAUACCUACUACCUUCUUGCUUUUUUAUCCGAGCUCUUACUCAUGCUCAAGGGGUUGUCCGACCUAAUCAACAGACCACUCCCUCACCUUUAUGCUCGGGGGCUUCCCCCGCUACGUGUCGACCUCCGAGUCCCAACUUUUCUCCUACCCCCCUCAAGGUUGUGCGACUAACUUGUGUGGACAGCAUCCUAGCAUGCGAAACCUAGACAACCUUGCGCUCGCCCCCUCUACAAGCUUGAGAUCCGCUCUCAGCAGAGUGCUGGCCAGGCAAGGCUAGGCACUUAGUGGGUACAGACCUAGGCCACACGGUGUCCUGUCAAACACACGAAGGGAGGGAAGAAGUUUUGUCUUUACAUAAGUUAAUCAACAUGUUUACUUGUCUCAUGACACAGAUUGAUAUACAUCUUAGUUUUUCUAUUACAGGUCCAACUCCUUGACUACCUCCUCCACAGCUUGUUAAUACUGGUCGGUCAACUUCGGAAGGCUAUCAGGAUCAAAGCCUUUGGCUACCUCCGCUCUGAUGCGCUCCACCGCCACUCGAGGGAAAUACGUCUUGAGAAGUACAAUGAUGUUCUUCGCGCACUCCACGGCGGUCUCCUUCAUCAGUGCUUUCAGCCAACCAGGAGCACUCCUCAGUCGGUCCAGCAGUGGCGUUGGCUCGGCAGGAUUGGCCUUGGGCUGGACCAUGUCCAUUACGUAGCCUGCGGUCGACCGCAGAUCUUCAAGCUCCACCUCCAAACCUGCAAUGACCACCUGUUCAUGCUGGAGACUGUGCAUCAUGGAAACCAAGCACCGGUCCAUAUCCUUGCGCAAGCUAGCCUCAUAGGCAAGUUUCUGCGACACAGCAUACUUACGGUGCACGGCGACGUUGUAGUCUUGCUGUAGUCGGGCGUUGGCGGCCUCGCACUCUUUGAGGUCUCUCUUGAGCCUCUCCUCUUUCUUUUGGGCAUCUGCAAAAUAACAUAACUCAGGAAAAGAUACCAGCCUCAUCUACCCAAGAUAGAUCCUCUAUAAGGGAUGAAGCUGUACCAGUCCGCAAAGCGCCAAGGUUGUCCUAGACCUCCUUGGUGAUCUUCUUAUGCUCCUCCAGCUCCCGAGCCUUACAUCAGAGCUGCUCCACAGCAUCCUCCUUGACCCCAUUGAGCUCGGCCUCUAGGUGCUCGACCUUGAGGCGAUACUCCUUGGCACGGUAGAUGGCGUCCGCCCUCUUGUGCACGCGCUCGGCCAGAUCCUAUACAAAAGUUACUCCAACAUUUCAAAGAUGGAAGACAGGGACGAAAGCCAGCAUCAAGUUAGGUUGGCCAACUUACGUAUAAAACCUCCCCGACCUUGGCCGAGGCUUCCUUCAGGACAGCAAGGUCUUUCUUGUCUUUUGCCACAUCCCGUGCCAGGUCUGUCCCAGAAAAGUCCAGCGUGGUGCUAUCAUCAUCUGCGUGGGCAUCGACGUCAGCAUCGUAGCCUGCCGCCUCGGUGUCAACCGGCGCCUCCCUAGGGGUCUCCUCCAUCUGCUCCGUGGCGCUGGCAUCCGUGGCCCUAGGCGUGGAGACAGCGGUGUCCCUUGCAGUAUCUAGGCGUGACGGAGACUUUUGUUCAAGCCUCUCCAGCUCUACCACCAGGUCGCCGGCGUGUCCGGUCUGGGUAGACGAAGCAGACGCAGCCCCCAAGUCCGCACCAAGAACAUGACCUCUCACCUAGGUCCCAGCGCCAUCCUCCUGCAGGCUUACCUCAUCCUCCGUCACCGCUUCCCUGCACGGUCAGCAUAGAACAGAUAAAGGGUGAAGCAGCCUACAAACAAACUUUCAACAAUAAGUGAUGCCACGACUACACUCAUAGUGUGCUCUUCUUCGCUCGGAACUUUGGGCAAAGAGGCACUGGCGGCGGCAGGGUCGGCCCCUUCCGCUUUCCCCCACGGAUCUCCAUCUUCAGCCGCUCCUUAAGCUUCUCCCCAUCGGCAGUGAUUAUCUCAAGGAGCUCAGCCUUCUUCUUCACAGGUGGUCUAGGUGACUCGGAGUCGUCACUCACUACUCCGGACGAGGCCUCUGUGGGAGAGGUAGUUGCCUCAGCUAACACCUGACUCUUGGUGGCCCCUAUUUUCUUCCUCUUCCCCUUUUCCGCCUCUGGCACCUUGGGUUCCACCACCUUGAGAAUAGCCUGGCACGUCCGCCGCCCAACAGGAGCGGCACUCCUAGCCUCCAUCUCGUUGCCUUGGACUAGCACAUCCUCAUCGAAGACGUCGAAGGAUGAGUCCGACUCCUAGUCCAGGGCAACAGGUGGCUGCUCAACGUCAGUGAUGGGGCGGAUCUUAGGCCGUUGUGGGUCGGCCCCUCCAGGAAGCGGUGCCGGAUAAAAAAAACUCAAAUUCACAGCUCUGGUCAAUCAAGAGGAACAGUUAGAGAGGACGCAAACUCAAAGCAGCAAAGCCGACUGAUGAAACUAAGAUCUUACCGGGUCGGUCGGCCUCACGAGGGAGUACGCCUUAGGGCAGUGCUUGUUCUUGAUGACGCCACCAAAGAACUCGCAGACCCGACCGGCAACCUCUUCUCGAGUAACUUUUCGCUGUACUUCCCAGGUUGGAUCUAGUGGACCCGAGUACUCAUACGUCGUAUGGACCCUGUCCUUGAUCGACUGUGUUAGCCUUCGGGAGAAAUUGAUGCUCACAGCUCCUGUUGUGAGCCCACGUCUCUUCAAGUCGGCGAUCUCCUUCAGCAGUUGGUUGACUUGGACCAUCUCCUUAGAGGUUGGCUGGUUCGACCAUUCUAACCUUGUCACGGGUACAUACCCGAGGCGGGGUGGCAGCUCGGGCUUCUGAUUGUCUAUAAGGAACCAUUCCUUGUGCCACCCUUUGUUCGAGUCCUUGAGCUUCGGAUCAAAAUAUUCCAGGACCCUCUUUGGCUACAACGAAAACCCACAACCACCAAUCAAUCUCGGCUUCCCCUUGGUCGACACAAUUUUCAAUUGGUAAAGAUAUGUCCAUAAAUUGAAAUGGGGAGGAAUGCCGAGGAAAGCUACGCAAAUGUGGAUAAAAACCGCGAUGUCCAAAAUGGAGUUAGGGUUGAGAUGCACUAACUUGAUCUUGUAGUACUCUAGCAACCCGCGAAAGAAAUCCCCCAUCAGGAUCCCGAAUCCCCGCUCGAAGAAUGCCUCAAAGACAAUGGCUUCGGUCUUGUCCUCGGUGGGGAACUCCUGGCCCACGGUCGCCUUCCAUUCCAGGAGGGACUUGGGACCGAGCAGGCCGCGAUCGAAGAGGGCUUGGAUCCUCUCCUCUGUCAUCACGGAUUUCACCCAAUACGUGGAUGGAUCUGGUGCCUGCUCCGCUACCAUUUCUUCGAUUUCUACUCCUCGGGACACAGAUCUGAUGAAGGCGGGCCUCUUGGUUCGCAUGCGGCGGGGAAUGGCGGCACGACGGUGGGGACUGCAACCUUUGGGUGGAGGAGUGGUGGAUGCAAUUUGUGGAUGCGGCGGCGAUUGUGUUGGCGGCGGCGGCGCUUGGGCGCGAGUGGAGUGGAAAUGAAAAGAAAACCACGCCUCUUCGGCUUUUGAAGGCAUUGACGACGUAAAUCUAGCGAUGGAAUCCGUGGGUCCCUAUUACGGCGCAAGCAAUGGACGAAACCUGUGGGUUUUCCAUUAAGUCUCACGGCGUGCCUCCGUGGCUCCGCCAGUUGGGGCUGGGCACCUAUCUCAGGUCGGCGUGCCUCCACGGCUCUGUCAGUCCUCGUGCUCGGGGGCUGGAUGCCUAUUUCAGGUCGGAGUGCCUCCACAGCUCCACCAGUCCUCGCGCUCGGGGUCUGGGCGCCUAUCUCAGGCCGGCGUGCGUGGCUCCGCCAGCUGUCGUGCUUGGGAGCUGGGCACCUAUCUCAGGUCAGCGUGCCUCCGUGGCUCAGCCAGCCCUCGCGCUCAGGAGUCCUUGUGCUUAGGGGAUAGGCACUAUAUUUGGAUCCAUUUUACGAUGGAAACAAUACAUUAGAUUCUUGACCAUUGGACCGAUUACUUUAAUUGCUUCAAUGCUCGAGGGCUACUCCGUAUGAAGUGCGUCUUGCGACACCCUCCAUGUGCUUUCCUUCGAUCUACAGGAUGCUAGACAUCCUGGAGCUGGACAGUCGCAUAGCCAUGCGCAUUUGUCAUACGCCUGAGGAAGCUUCAAUUGUUCUUCCUUUUUUGAGCACUGUGCAGCCUCUCCAUCACUAUAACGACACCGCAACUUUAGCCGAGUACAUUAUAAGCUUCAUUAAUUGUUGCACAUUCGUCAGGUUCCUGUUGGACUCCACAUCGCUCGGGGACUUGAGAGAUAAGGGUACCCACGGGUCCCCACUGACUACGAUACUGGUCGGCCCUGACAGGUGGGCCCGCCUGACCAUGCCGUGCGGGCUAAGGCAUGAAGAUACAUGGAGCACAAGUCCGAAGGUCGGGCGAACGGAUUCUACCCAGAUAUCACGGGAUACUUGUUGUAAGCCUUCUCAUAUUGCUUUCCAUGUAACAACUGAUUAGGAUUAGAUCCUAUCCAAUUGUAACCCUAGGUCGUCAGCCUAUAUAAGGCGGCUAGGGGUGCUCCCCGAAGGCAACUCAACGCACCUCAACUCAUCCCACCUCACAUUAACUCUUCGCACAUGCGAUCAACAAUACAAUCCACUAGAACACAGGACGUAGGGUAUUACUCUCCACAGACCUGAACCUAUCUAAACCUUGCGUCUCUAUGUUAUCAUUAAGUUCUUGGUCUCACGAUCUCCCCCGUCUACAAAUUUACCACCUAGGUAACCUUGUCACUAAAUCUGACAGCUAUAGUGAAAAAGCUCGCUGCCAGCUAAAAUUUUAAUGAGGUGACCAUUUCCAUCGUGUAGAAUGUGGUUGAAGAAAAUAGAAUAAUUUUUUUUAAAAAAAAUUGGAACAACCUACGGAAUGGGAUCCAUUUUCGGCUCUCCCCUGCCGUCUCGGCUCCCUCCCCCGGCACCCUUCUCGGCUUUCUCAUCCUAUUUUCUCCAUAGUGACUUUGUCACUCAUGUUCUUUUGUUCGAGCUUCUUGGUAGUUUCUCAGCGUGAAAAGUCAGAAGCUCAAGAAAUUCUAGUGCAGCUCCCGAAAAGUUGGAAGUUCAGAAAAGCUGGAAAACUCAGUUUUAUAAGUUUUUUUAGCUUUUUAAACUUAAAAAAAUUAAAUACAUCAUUUAAAAGUUAGCGUUGGGUCUUGGGAAAAAAAACUAGCAAUAGCUUUUAAAAAAACUUAAAAAAUUGUGGGUCAAACAAACUGUCCGCACCCACUCAGCCGAGAAGCACCAAAAGGCUCGGUGGCCCUCCCGGCUCCAGCCGACCAGCCGGCCUCGCGUACACGGUACACCGCCGGCGACGAGCGAGACGGAUCGCGCAGCGGGGAUGAUCCAGGACAGUUUUUUUUUUUGCUAAAAAAACCCGGCAAAAUAGCGGACAAACGGCGAGACCUCACCCGCCCGCGCCCGUCCAUCCCACAUCGCACGGCCGCCCCGGCCCCGCGCGGCGCAGCCACGGAACGCGCGCCUCAGUCCACACACCCGCUUGCGCUUUCGGAUAGGCCCGGCAGGCGCGCGCCUCCGGCCCCGAGCGCGACCGGCGAAGAACACCCCCGCGCGGUGGCGUGCGAUCCGCGCGGUGGAAUCGAGGCCGAGAGGCGAGAGAAGGAAAAAAAAAAUCCCUUUCUUCCCCACUGCCACACCGCAUCGCGUCUCCGAUCAUCCGCCCCCCGCGGCGCCGGUUCCCCCGCCCUCCCCUCCUUCCUUGCGUGCCGCUGCCGCUUCCCCACUUCCUCAGCUCACCUCCCACUCACUCGAUUCCCCGAUCCCGGGCAGGCAGCGCCACGGCGGAACCACUAACCGCUGCCAAUUCUCUAUUCGAUUCCGCGCCAACUUUACAGCCACGCCGCGCGGCAGGUGGGAGGAGCCUAUAAUUGAAGAAGCAUCCAAUCAUCCACCCAACCGAUCGGGGGCAGGGGCGGAUUCGAGCGAUGGAGGCGUGCUGCUGCUCGUCCUCGUCGGCGCCGUCGGCGUCCAUCCUCGCCGCCGGCCCCGACCCGGUCCUCCGCCGCCGCUUCUUCGCGCCGGCGUCGGCACCGGGCGGGAGGGCGCCGUCGCGCCCGCUGCGCGCGUUCGCGGUCGCGCUGGCCGCGUCCCCGGUGCCGCGGCGGGGGCAGCAGCAGCGGCGGCGCGGGGCGGGCGUCGUCCGGGCGGUGUUCGAGCGGUUCACGGAGCGGGCGGUGAAGGCGGUGGUCUUCUCGCAGCGGGAGGCGCGCGGGAUGGGGGACGAGGCCGUCGCGCCGCACCACCUGCUGCUGGGCCUCGUCGCCGAGGAUCGCUCCCCCGCGGGGUUCCUCGGGUCGGGGAUCCGCGUCGAGCGCGCGCGCGAGGUGUGCCGCGACGCGCUGGGCAAGCCUGGGCCCGCGCAGGCCGCCACGGGGCUGGCAACGGACGUGCCGUUCUCGGCCGCCAGCAAGCGCGUCUUCGAGGCCGCGGUCGAGUUCUCCAGGAACAUGGCCUGCAACUUCAUCUCGCCGGAGCACAUUGCGCUCGGACUCUUCAACCUGGGCGAUCCCACCACCAACAGCGUCCUCAAGAGGUUGGUGGUGCUCUUCUGCUCUAUAAUAUCUGCUCCCAAAAAGAAACCGUGCUGUUUUUCAUCUUGUUAGAAAAUUAGCCCUCACGGCGACACAUCUCUUUUGGCCAAUGAUCCACAACCAUGUGACAUCUAUCAAUAACACGACAACCUCUUCAUCACGAACGAAAUAACCAUACGCCUCUUUUGGAGCGUUACAGAUGCACAUUGUCAGUUAGCCACAGCUGGAACCAAUCGGCUGAUAAGCUUUGUCGAUAAGGACCAAUAUUUGUAUCUAAAUUGCACUACAAAAAUAUGUCAUUCGAAAGUUCAGCAGGCUAGCAGCUGGAAAUGCAAGCAAAGUUUACAACUAGCAAUGUGCAUUCAUUUUAGCGAGAAAUAGAUAAAAGUUCAUUUUAGCGAAAAAAAUAGAUAAAAGUUCCCCAUUUGUUUUUUCAUUAUUGUGUGAUUUAUUGAUGCAUCUCGUUCGUUGUAGCUUAGGAGCAGAUCCAAGUCAGCUAACCAAGCAGGCAUUUGGCCGGGUCCAAGGGGAACUUGCCAAAGAUGGCAGGGAGCCUGUUGGGCUAUCUUCUUUCAAGUUACGUGAAAAAUCUGCCGCGGGAGCUGGCAAGACUGCAAUUGUCAAAUAUUCAAAUAAAAAGAAAGGUUAGAGGUUAAGCUACUUUAUUGGAGUUCAUGCCAAUAUUGUUGAUAAUAGAGCUCAUUGAAUAAAUGAACUUUUUCGUAUGUCAUUUCAGAGAAGAGUGCACUAGCUCAGUUUUGUGUGGAUUUGACCAUGCGAGCAAGUGGAGGAUUAAUUGAUCCUGUUAUUGGUCGCAAGGAGGAGAUCGAAAGAGUAGUUCAGAUUAUAUGCCGGAGAACAAAGAACAAUCCAAUUCUUUUGGGUGAAGCGGGUGUUGGUAAAACAGCGAUUGCUGAGGGUUUGGCUCUUAAAAUUGCUAAUGGAGAUGUCCCUAUUUUCCUUGUGGUAAGAUCCAGCGACCAGUGAUGGAUGCUCAGUCAUGUUGUAACAUAUUGUUAAGAACUGCAGUUAAUAGUUACCACUCAUUUACAUUGUUUUAUAGGGAAAGCGUAUAUUAUCACUGGAUGUUGCUCUACUUAUGGCUGGUGCAAAAGAGAGGGGCGAACUGGAAGCCAGGAUUACUAGUUUACUACGUGAAGUGCGCAAAGCAGGUCAUUUGACUCAUCCAUUAUAAAUUACUAGAUAUUGAAUUCUUUUUCCUAUACAGUCUUUAAAUAGCUCCCAAAUUUCAUGCAGGUGAUGUUAUGCUCUUUAUCGAUGAGGUUCAUACUCUUAUUGGAUCUGGAAUUGCUGGAAGAGGAAGCAAGGGAGCUGGCCUUGAUAUUGCCAAUUUGCUGAAGCCUGCACUUGCUAGAGGUGAAUUGCAGGUUCGAAUUACACAAACCUUGAUUAGUCUACGUUGACCUUCCUGCUUUGCACUUAAUACGUGACACUUCCCAAAUAGAUUGCUUUGAUGCCUGCGCUUCAUCAUUUUAUGUAUUGUCUGGUGUCUAGGCGUGUAGUUUGUCAUAUUGCUUGCCUAAGUUCUACCCAACAUUUAGUUAUGUCAUAUGAUUUAGUUACCUGCUUUCCAAACAGAUGGCAGUCUACCCCUCAUGCACUAUCUGUACAGUAGAGAACCAUAUACUUUCUCUUGUCCUGUGACCUGUUGAUUGCAUAUAUUAUUGGCAAUGAAGGUUUCUAUUCUUUUUUAGUAGAAUGCCACUGAGCAACUGUGAAGGAGAUUUGGUGGUUAGACUGAUGGUUCCUGUAUUCAUCUUGUUAUACUGUUUAGUGUAUACUUUGUCACUUGAGUGAGAUUCAAUCUUUAUGAAGAUGUGUAAAAUGUUUAUGAAUACCGAGCAGGUUGUUUUGUCAAUCCGUGACAGAAUAUUAAGUAUUAGAUACGCCAUUCAGCUGUGUGACUGACUUUGUUUUCUUCCCCUGUGGUUAUUCUUGUAUUUGCUCACAGUGCAUUGCAUCUACAACUCUGGAUGAACAUCGGUUGCAUUUUGAGAAGGAUAAGGCUCUAGCCCGCAGAUUCCAGCCAGUAUUUGUGAAUGAGCCUAGUCAGGUAGUUUGGAUUUUGCUUUCAGAAGUCACUUGGUAGGGUGGGUAUCUGUUUCUCUUAUUAAUCCUUUGUGACACCCCUACAGGAGGAUGCUGUGAAGAUAUUACUUGGUCUGCGUGAUAAAUAUGAAACGUAUCACAAAUGCAAAUACACUUUAGAAGGAAUCAAUGCAGCAGUUUACUUGUCAGCAAGAUACAUCCCUGACAGACAUCUUCCUGAUAAAGCUAUUGAUCUGAUUGAUGAAGCUGGUAGUAGAGCCCGAAUGGAGUCAUUUAAAAAGAAGAAGGAAGAACAGUGCUCUAUUCUCUCCAAGUCCCCAGAUGAAUACUGGCAGGAGAUUAGAGCUGUCCAGAGCAUGCAUGAAGUGGUAAUACAAUAUUCACAAUAGAGCAGUUGCAACUUGCAAACAUUCCAUACACUCGUGGAUUCUUAUAUUUCAUUGUAUACCACAUUUCAGGCACUGACUAACAGGUUGAAGUAUUCUCUAGAUGAGAAUGACACAGAUGACAAUGUUAAUACUGAAGUAAUAGAUGAGGACAAGAUUGCUUCACCAUUGACGCCUCCAACUUCAGUUGAUGAGUAAGUUCCAUCAUGUAGUCAUGUCACGCAGAGUAGGCUUAGCAUCCUGCAACUUAGAUCCAUAGAAUUUACAGUCACUCUUAACGUGCAGACCGAUUCUGGUUGAUUCGGAGGAAAUUGCAAGAGUCACAUCAUUAUGGUCAGGGAUACCGGUCCAGAAGUUGACUGCAGAUGAAACAAAACUUCUAGUGGGCCUAGAUGAUGAGCUUAGAAAGCGUGUCAUAGGUCAAGAUGAUGCUGUUGUGGCAAUAUCUAAAGCUGUGAAGAGGUCACGUGUUGGCCUUAAUGAUCCUGACAGGCCUAUUGCUACACUUCUAUUCUGUGGGCCAACCGGAGUUGGAAAAACCGAACUCACCAAAGCACUAGCAGCAAGUUAUUUUGGAUCUGUGGGUUAUGCUUUCCUUCUUACAUAUUCUAUUGUUAUUUACAGAGUUUAUGACAUGUUCCAUGGAAUUAUGUCUUGAGAAAGUUAUUUCUUUCAUUUAACAGGAGUCAGCUAUGGUUAGGUUGGAUAUGAGCGAGUAUAUGGAGAGGCAUACUGUGAGCAAGCUGAUAGGUUCUCCUCCAGGGUACAUGGGAUUUGGUGAAGGGGGUACUUUGACUGAAGCGGUUCGGAGAAAACCAUUCACUGUAGUAUUGCUUGAUGAAAUAGAGAAAGCUCAUCCAGAUAUUUUCAACAUUCUUCUCCAAGUAUUUGAGGAUGGACACCUGACCGAUUCACAAGUACUAGCUCCUGACAUUUACAUUGUUUUUUCGUGCCAGUUUUUUCAGAACUUGUUUACAAAUCAUGCACUUGGAGAGAUACUACCACUUAAUUAAAUGAUUGCUAUAGUUCUACCCUUACUAAUUUCAUUAGUGAAACGAAUUACUGAUUCAACUCUAUAGACAAAAAUGAACUUAUCUAAGUUGUUUCAUAAAAGCAAAUUCUUUCACUUAUGCCUUAUACUCUUUUUAGUCGCAUUUCAAUGUGCAUGCAUUAUUUAAUGUUUGUGUUGAUUACAGGGGCGUAGAGUUUCCUUCAAGAACACAUUGAUUGUCAUGACGUCAAAUGUUGGUUCUUCAUCAAUCUCGAGUGGAAGGAGGAGUAUAGGUUUCUCAACACAAAAAGAUACAGAGGAUACCACAUAUGCUUCGAUGAAAUCCCUCGUGAUGGAGGAGUUGAAGGCAUUUUUCCGGCCUGAAUUGCUCAAUAGAAUGGAUGAAGUGGUUGUGUUCCGUCCUCUUGAGAAAACUCAGGUCUGUUAUUUCUAUCCAUGUUACAUUCUUCUUUUACUUUGUGGUUUUAAACAUCGUAUCACUUAGUAAUGGAAACCAAGGAACAGAGUUGUACUUGAUAGCUAACUUGAUGCAAUGCUCUUGCACCUAGAAUAAUAUCAUGUGCAUCAGUUUUUAUCCCUAUCGCAUGUGGUUCAGCCAUGUGGGAGAUUGCAAAUGAGACAUUCACACUCUCUGACAUUCUGCAGAUGAUGGCUAUUCUCAAUAUAAUUCUGCAAGAAGUCAAGAGUAGGCUUCUAGCUCUUGGGAUUGGCCUAGAGAUAUCUGAUUCAAUGAAGAAUCUGAUUUCUCAGCAAGGAUAUGACAGAAGCUAUGGUGCACGGCCGCUGAGGAGGGCCGUCACCCAGCUAGUUGAGGAUGCGAUCAGUGAAGCAAUCCUCUUUGGACAGUUCAAACCUGGUGACACGAUAUUGAUGGACACUGACGCCACAGGAAAACCUUGCUUGAGCCGGUUGAAUGAUCAGACCGUCCAAUUGUCUGACCCUGCAACAACGCUGUGAACUUCACCAUCGUGUUGUAUACUAGUGGCUUACCCAUUAAUUCUUUCACAAAGUGGUAUGCCUCUUGAUUCUUCCGUACAUAGGAUCCACAGCUCUGUGUGUACAUAACCUUAAGAGUUGCUGGAAUCUCUCCUUGCAUAUAAUGUAAAUCUAAAUCUUAACCCAAUUGUACAUAAUUUCACCAUAGAAGGCAUACAUUGUUUAUGUUGGCUAGCAGGCCAGGUAGUCAGCAUUGCAUUUCAAUGUUGGUCAUCUCGAUGUUUUCCCCCGGUGCCGCCAGCCGUCUAUGUCCGUACAUUGAUUGGAGCGGCGUGUAAACUGACUGUACUAGCAUGCAAUACAGAAUCCAACUGACAUGCAGAAGUGGAAACAAAUGUCUGACUUGCUGUUUGUUUUUCAACUUGACACGCCCUAAAUUAAUUAUAUCUUCAUGGCUCAGCAUAACAUUUGAGAUACCAAAUUCUGCCAUUCCAAAUUUCCAAGAGAACAGAUUGAUUCGUAGAAAUUUCACUUCAAUACACAUCGAAGCAUGCGAAUUGAUCAUAGUCUGAUGACUACAAAACAUAUACUAGUAGUACAACCAAAUAUACUGCUGCCUAAAGCUCAUCCCCGAAAAGUUAAA
RNAcentral lists this long non-coding RNA (50979 nucleotides) under Setaria viridis. RNAcentral's name for it is "long non-coding RNA (SVIR_LNC008287)". Lineage: Eukaryota; Viridiplantae; Streptophyta; Magnoliopsida; Poales; Poaceae. The record is from RNAcentral.